Molecule: long non-coding RNA, 51576 nt
Filed under: Manihot esculenta (cassava)
Lineage: Eukaryota; Viridiplantae; Streptophyta; Magnoliopsida; Malpighiales; Euphorbiaceae
Description: long non-coding RNA (MESC_LNC002353)
Source: RNAcentral
UUACUAAUUAUGUUUUGCUCCGAUCUUUUAAUUUAAUCGAAAUCAAUUUAAAGUAGAAUCCGAGUUUGAAUUUUGCUGAUCUUGAAUUUGCUUUUAUUUUUUUAUAACUUAAUUUAUUUUUUAUAAUUUAUUUUAAUUAAAAAAUUUUAUUUGAUUUUUAUAUAUAAAAUAUUAAAAUCUAAUAAAAAGGGAGAUUAAUUUAUAAAUAUAAGGAUUUAUUAGUAAUUAUAAUACUUAAAGAUUAAUUUAUAAAAAUAUAAAAAUUAAUUUUAAUUAAAAAUAUAAAGUUUAAAUUAAAAAAAUAUUUUAUUUAUUAAAUAAAAUUUAAUGAACUAAAUUUAAAAAUAUAAAUAUUAAAAUAUAAUUUUCACAAUAAAUUAAAAUUUAUCAGUAAUAUUUAAUAUCGUGAAAGUAAAUAACUCUUUUUAUUAAAAAUUAAAAUAUAGGACCUAAUUAAAAAUAUAUUAAACUAGAGGACAGUUUUUUUUUUGUAAUUAUUCCAAAAAUAAAACUGCAACAAAUAAAGCAAUGAGCGCUGCGCACUCCGAGACUUAGCCUGGUGGAAAGUGCAUCCUUGUAGCCUUGAGAGGUCUAAGGUUCGACUCCCCCAACCCCCUAUUUUAAAAAAAAAAAGCAAUGAGCGCUGCCCAACUCACAUCAUUAACCAUACUACCUCCUAAACCUCCAAAGUUAAGCAGUAGGUAACUAAUCCACUGAUCAAAAUCAUAUUGCAGAUUAACCCCAGAAAUAAAGCUAACUGCAGUGAAAUAAAAGCUUGUACCAUAACCGCUUAAGGCUUCACAGUAGCUCACAACCCAUCAUCAAAGUUCAACAGGGAAUCACCCACCAUAAGCCUAUUCCCACACUUACAUGGCAACCUGUCAUCAAAAUCUACUCAUGCACAAUAACAAAUACAUUGUCCACAAACCACAAGGUGUGAUCUUUCCCAAAGUGUAAGCCCCAACAACACACUAUACAAAACCAAUCUCAGCAAUACACAACCUACAGAAAAACUCAAACUAGACCCAACAAAAAACAUCAAUCAUUAAGCAUCAGUAAAAGCCUGUUCCACUGGAGUAUUUACCUCUGAAUAGAGCACAGGUUCAAAACGUACCUCCACACCCUGCUGGAGAAUGGGCAACUAAGAUUGUUUCAUCUUGACUCUGACAUAAUUGGCAGUAGGUAUCUGAAACCAUUCCCUUUUUUCUUAGUCUGGUCUUUACCGAAAGUCUGUCUUGUAGAGCCAGCCAAACUAUGAAGCUGUGUGUAGGGAUCACACUCCUUCCCCAUAAUAACUUCCAUCAAGAUACAGUUGAACUGUUGUUUCUAAUUACCUUUCAGGCGCUGGAGAUGGAGUAUCUCCAUGAAACAUUGAGGCUCCACUUGAUUAUAUCCUCCUGAUCAUCUCUCACCCUAAACCUCCUUAUUUCCUCCCAAGCAUUUUCAGUUACAGUAUUCAUGGGGUCUGAAAGCCUCCAACCUUCUUUCUACAGUCCUUUACUCUUGCAUGCUUAGGGAUGUCAGUAUCCAUAAAAUUUAAGCUACAGAACACCUAUCUUUAACACUUCUUCCAUCCAUCCAAGGUCAAACCAAAAGGACAACAAGUCUCCCUUUUCCAGCUUAUAAACAAAGAGAUUCUUACAGGUGUCCCUAAGCUUCAAUAAGUGUCUCCAAGCCCUAGCAUCCUGAGGUCUAUUUACCCCCAGCAGCUUACCUGCUUCAGCUUAUUCCUCUUAAUCCAUCUUGCCAUGAUGAAUUUCUAGAAGUUAACCACUCCCAUAUCAAUUUCCCAACAACUACUUUUUUCCAUGCUAAUAACUCUUUAAUCCCAAGUGCUCCUUUUUUUGGCUUACACAUGCAUCCCAAGCAACGCUUCCACCCCCUCAUUCCUUCAAUACCUCAUGUCUAUAAGAAUAUUCCGCACCUUUUAUCAAUCUCCUUCAUUACAGCUUUUGGGAGAAUGAAAACACCUGCACCAAUACACAUACAUACUCCUCAACACAGCAUUCAUUAACUGGAUCCUUCCAACAUAUGACAAGUCCUUUACUGCUCAGCUAGUGAUCCUUGCAGUAAUCUUUUCCACAAGCUUGUGACAAUGAUUUUUUGAGAUUGUAGUAUAUACCAAAGGUAAGGCCUAGAUAUUUGACCGAGAGGUUUCCUUCUCUAGAUCUUAAUGAUUGCAAAAUCUGCCUUUUGACUGAGCCUGAGCCUUCAACACAAGAGCAGUAAGCAACACUCUUCUUUCUUAUUAAUGUGCAAGUCGAAUACACAUUCAAAAUGCACAUUAGCAUUAGCCAACAAAAUAACAAAGGCAACAUUCCCAUGACUAAAUAUAAACAGAUCAUUUGCAAAACAUAAGUAAUUCAACCUUACAUCUUUACACCCUUCAAUGAAACUUAAAGGAGUUAGACACCUUCAAAGUUAAAUACCUUGAUAGGUACUCCAUUGCCACAAUGAAAAGCAAAGGGGAUAUUAGAUCCCUUUGCCUUAAACCUUUCCUCCCUGGAAAAAACUCUCCAUGUUACUAUCAACCAUUACGGUAUACCAUGGUGUUCUAAAACUUUGGGCCUACCGAUAACACAAAAUAAUACAUGCGACCAUGAUCAAAUUUCAAUGAAGAACAACACUUUUAAUGUCGGUUUGCAAAGUCUCAUAAUAAGAGAAUUCAAUUUAAUUGAAUUCCAUUUAUUGAAAUUCCAUAUUUAAAAAUGGCUAAAACUCGAUUUUUUAAAUUAAAAAUAAUCAUUUCUUUUUUUUUUUUGAAUUGGGGGUUGGGGGAUUCGAACCUGAGAUCUAUCAGGUUUACUCGGAUGCACUUACCACCAGACUUAAAAUAAAUUAAAUCGAAGAUGUACGUUUAUACAAAUAAAAUUCAUUUAAUACACCGAAUUAUAAGAAUAAAAUUCAUUUAAUACACCGAAUUAGAACUCUACAUAAAUAUUCAUAAACUUAAUAUUUAUAUUUAUUAGGAUCAAAUUAUACAUCAAACAAGUAAAAUUAAUUUUUUAAAUUUUUAUUAAAAACUCUAGAUGAAUAAAUGUGACAAUCCAUUUACAAUAACUUCAUAUUUAACAUACUUUCACUUAAAAAUAAAGUUUUAGAAGGAUGAUGAUCCUUGGUAACCCCUGUCAUUGUUACAUAAAUAAUAUUUAUUUCUUUAUUCUAAUAAAUCGUUUUACACAAUUAAUAUAAUUCAAUAUUCGUCCAAAGUAUAUAAUAUGUCAACCUAUGAUUGAAUCUUAUGGCAAAGUCCCUACAAUCAAAGUACUCUAAUGAUUAGACUUAACCACUUAUAACGUGCAGACAAGACUAAUCGAAUCGUAUAUAAAAUGUUUGGUUCGUUAAAGACUCGCCCUGUAGAGCUGGUCAAAGUGAAUUCAUGUAAUAUAUAUAAUUACAGAAUCUAUUAUUUACUAGUCGAUAUCCGUCGAACAUGUAGGAAAUCAUUAACUAAUCAUAUCUUAUUACAUUAUAAAAAUAAAACGAUCACAGAUUUCAAAACACAAAUUUUGUUACUCAAAUCUAUUUGCUCUAUCUUCAUUUUAGACUCGUUCAUUUGAAAGAUUAUUAAUUUGAACGUUGGAGUAUCUGCUUGUAAAUACCAAGUACUUCAUCUUUUCUUUUACAGAUUGCUAGAUCACAUAUAAAUUGUUUUGGACAUCUCAACAACGGAAUGCAAAUGAAUUCUAUUAUUUUAAAAAUUACUCCAAUACAAGAAUUUUCUUACAAACUCCUUUGAAUUAAUUAAUUAUAUAUAAAAAUAUAUAGAAUUGAUUCUAUCAUAAGAAUCACUCCAAAUGGGAUCGAAACAUUCAUAUAUAAUACCCACAUCAAUUACAAUAUCAACAUAAAAUGCACGCCUGAAACUCAUUAAUUUCCUUUAACCAUUUCAAAUACAACUUCCUAAAUUUUGUGUAGCCAUAAAUAGUUACAAGGAAAAUCCAUUUCUUCAAUGGUAUGUGAAUUUCUCAACAAGACAAAUAUAUAAAGAUGAUAAAAAGAUUCCUACCCAAUAGUAACCUUGGAAAGCUACACUUCUAUCCAAGAUAUCGAAGCAAAACUCCAUCAUUUCCUAGCACAAAUCCCCUUCUUUCAUCGAUAAACCUGCAAAACAAACAUCACGAAUCCUUUACAAACCAUUGGCUUGUGGUUUAAGACGUUUUUUUAACCAGCGAUGGACCUAUGCCCCAGGAAUUUUAGUUUUUAAAUGAGAUUAAAUUAAAUAUGAUUUUGUUUUUAAUAUACAGCUACAUUUAGCCCCUUGUUCUUUUAAAAAAGUCCAGAAAUUUGAUUUUUCUAAUGGUUUAACUAAAUAAAAUUUAAUGAGUUUAAAUUUAAUAAAUUAAAAUUAUAUUUUUAUUAAAUCUAAUUCUAGUAAAUUCGCCUCCCAAGUGUAAAUAUUGGGUUCAUUACUCUCUGUAACUUUGGAAAACUAUUCCCUUUCUCUUUAUUUUUUAAAAUUGCAACCUGUAUGAUAAUCUAUUUUUUACUUAGGAAAUUUCAAAUAUAUUUAGCAACCAAAAAUUUAAAUAAAAAAGAUUUAAUAUUGUUAUUUUCACUUAAAAAAUCUACUAACCUCCACAAUGCCAUCACUUUUUCUCUCCCUUCCUCUUUUUCCAACUACCCAUGAACAAAAUAUGGCUAAAAGAAAUCAACCAUUCAAUCCAAAAGACAUGCAUUUGUUAAAGUAUGGUGUGGAAGGGGACGAGCCAGUGAUCAUGACAGGCUGAGAAGAAGAAAGAAUGGAGAACGAAGUAGCAAAAUGUAAUCUAAUUAAAAUAAUAAUUUUUAUUCACUAAUAAAAUAUAUUUUAGCAAUAUAAGAAUGAUCGAUAGAAUUGAUAUAAAUGCAAUAGAUUUGGAUAAAAGAACUAAUAAUAGAGUAACAAUAGUGGAUUAUUAAUUUGUUAGCUGGCCACAUAAUUAAGCCAAACUUAAAUUGAUAAAAAAAUCUAAAAAAAAAAAUUAAGAAAACGCCUGAAGUUUUUUACUCUUUUUUUUAUUUGUUAAAUUUUUUUUAUGUUUAUUUGGCCAUUGAGAAAAUAAUAUAUGCCAACUUUUGAGAAGAUGAAACUUACUUGACUGAAUACAGAUUUGCAGCGAUAUUGUCAGCAGCUUUGUCACGAGUCCAUGAUUUACCACCAUUCGUGGUUCUUAAUAGAACUCCACUGCCCCCUGCUGCCCAAGCCUCUUCCUACAAAAUCAUAUCAUUCUGUAAGAAAUAUACACUACUCACCAUCAUGAAUUAUAGUCACUUUCAACUGUAGUUAAACUAAUAAAUUAUAGUCACCAUGAUAAACGACAGUCACUCUCUCAGUUCUGAGAAUCUCUCUUUUUGUAAAUGUGCAUCAAUAAUUUUAUUUUCUCAUAAUGCUUAACUUCCUAGAUACAUACUCAUAGCUUCAAGAGUAAUAACCCAAAAUCCAUUGAGAAGUUCUAUAAAUUGACAAUUCACACAUGCAUAAAAUUUACAAAAUAGAACAGUCUGUAGAAAUUUUCGUCAAAUUCUUUAUCCAUCAGUACUAAAUAUCAAAGCUUAAUAAAACCUUAUAAAUGUAAUUAUCAAUUUCAAUAAUGAAAUAAAAUGAAAAAGGAAAACCUAGAGAAUAAUAAUAAUGAAUGGAUAAGAAAAAAAGGAUAAAGUAAUUAAAUUUAUCAAAGCUGACUAAUGGUAGAGGGAAAGUAAUUGCAAAUAUGCGAGUACAACAAUAUUCUCCCUAAUUCUACAAAAGUUGUAAUUUGAGUUUUGAGAUCUUGAACUCUCAAGUAGAAGUGUGUGUAUAUAUAAGUAUAAGUAAUAAUGAUUUUUUAUUUUAUUUGGUUAAAUUAUUUAUUUGAUUAUAAGUUUGAAUUAGAAAAUGAGUCAAGAUAUUAUUAUCAAAAAAGAAAAAAAAACCUGGACUUGUACAUUAAAAACUAAAAAUUAGGUUGAGCAAAGGGAGCAGGAAAAAAAGAAAAAAAAUAAGUCGAGCUGAAUAGGUGUGAGUCCAAAAGGGAGAAAUCAUAAGAGGAUGGUAAGAGAACUUCCUUCACAGUGGCUCAUAAUACUGUAUUAAUGGCAAACUUGUUACCUUUGACCGGUACCCGACGUCAAGAAUGCCAAAACCACGACUUUGCACUGGAAUUUCUUCAAAAUCCUCUGAUAUCUAGAACAUGAAAUAUGAAUGUACUUCAAUAACAAGAAAGAAAAGAGUUAAAUAAAAAUGUGAUAAAAACCAGUAGAAAUCAAAUACAUUCAAGUCCAUGUUUCAGAAAGAAAGGAUGGUUUUCAUUUCCGAAAACAAAAUUUCUCUACCUUUUGCUGUUGGUAUUCUCAGAAAAAGAAAAAGGAAAAAAAAAGAUGCAUACCUCACUUCAGUUAUUUUGUAUAUUAUUUUUUGAGAUCAUUUGAAAUGAUUGUUCAGUAAUUUCCUACUCUUUAUCCAUGAAAUUUUGGUAAAAGUGCAUUUAAUGGUGAGAACUUGUAAAAAUAUUAUUGUGAUCAAAGAAAAGACCUCCACAAAUUAAUUUACUUACUCCAGCGCCUUUACUAAGAUAAAGUCCCCCUCCACGAACAAGAAGCCAAAGACCACCAUCAGCUCUCCAUCCCAUGUUCUGAAUCCUUCUUGCAACUGCUCUAUUAUGUGGCUGCCAGAAUGGCUGCAAAUAGUGCAAAGCAAUGAAUCCAAGUUGAUAGUAGAACACUUAAAAUAUUUGAUUGGCAGAGAUUACUAUACACCAUACUAAUUUCAUAACAAAUACCAACAGGUACAUGGUCCUUUAUUUCGUUCCAUAAAAUGAAAAUUUUUUGGCAGGUCAAUAUUUCUUGAUAAUAAAUAAACUGGAAUGAAGAAGCACAAAAACAAUACCUGCAAGGUCGAAUAGCUUCUAGCACACAAGAAAGUGAGAAAGUGACAAGGAAUUCAAAGAAAAACGAAAGGAAGAGAAAAAAAAAAAAAAGACUUAGAUUCUGUACAAUGUUAUGCUUCAGGAUGUCAAAAUUUUACUGAUAAUUUUACAUUGUGAGACAAUCUGGUUAAGAAUGAGGAACAGGAUUCCAGUAACGGCCAGCUAACUUGAAACUUCCAUAGCUGGUGGACUCUCUCGCUGAAAUAGAAUAAUCUCAUCAGUCGUGGCAAAACCUUAUUUAAUUAUAUAUUCUCACUCAUAAUUAAUAAAGAGAUGGUAUAAAGAAUCUCAAUGCAUCCACCAGAAAAAGGCACUGAAGAACAUGGCAUUGAAGGCUUUCCAUUGGAAACUCCAAUCCUUCUCAUGCCUAUUCUUCUCAUACUACAAUCUGCAGUAAGUUGCGGCAGUAGUAUUCAGCAUAGAAUUCCAUUACUAUGCUUGAGUAUCCUCUAGUAUUUUCCAACUUCUACAAUACUGAAGUAGGCAUAAGCCACCCACCACAAACUAUUACCAAUUCUCAUGUUCCUUACAACUGAAAAACGAAAGCACAGAUUAUCCUGUCCAUUGACUGAAAGGACUAGUCAGUUGUUAUUACCAUCCACCAUAAAACCACAAGAAAUUAUUUUUCUAUAGACUGUUUACUAUCAAAUGUUUGCUUCAAGUUCCUGAAAUAAAAAUUAAACCUCACAUCUCAUACUAGUAGAGACCUACAACAUAAUCUUAUCUUCAACUUCCGCUCUCAUCCUUCCUAAAUAAAACAAACUUAGAAAAUGGAUAUCAAUUCCCAAAAAUGCAACAGGGAGAAAACCUAGGAUUCCAAGAAAAUAUUCCCAUUCCUCCAAAUGAAAUCAGCCAUUAAUCUUAGCAAUUAGGGGUCAAAAACCCUUAAAUGAGCUCCCUUUAGGCCAACCAAAAAAAGUCCUCCCAGUGUAAAAGGCUUUCAGCAUUGCAGGCGACCUCCAGUCACAAUUGAGGAAGAGCAACCUUACCAUCCCACCAAGGCUUACUCUCAGUGUUGGAUCAAAUGCAUGCCAAGUAAACUUUUUCAACAGUGUAUUACCAAUAAAAGUAACAAGGAUAACCUAUUAAGUGCCCAAGUCCAACGGUAUCCACCCUAAUUCCUUCUGAUUCUGCCAAUGUGCACUGCUCACGUUGCACUCUUUGCAAAUAGUUCUUUAAUCUAUUCUAUAUUUCCAUUAUAUUAAAAUAAUGACAAUCAAAAGAUUGUGGUGUUAUCCUCAAAUUUAAGUUCAUUAUCUAAGAGAACCAUUAAGUUCACACACGAAAGGCUACUCUUGCAAAGUUGCAAAGGGAAGUGUAAAAACUACUUUUAUAGGGAAAUUAGGGAAUAAGGAAUGAGUUUCAUGCUAAGCACUUCAAACCUGAAUAUGAAAAACCAGCUGGUCUCCAUGCAACAGUCAUAUCUGCUCUGAACAACAAUGCAGUAGAAGCAUUGGCUUUUUUAAUUACUCUCCAAUUUCCAAAAUAUACUGUGUCUGCCGUAGUCAUGAUUAUUUUUUCAUGUGAGCAGGAGAAGGAAAAAUAUUAAUGCCCAUCAGUUGUACCUUCAGUCAUUCGAAAUAAAUACUCAACAUUUGAAUCUAUCUUUUUGCAUUUUACUUUCUUUUCCUUCUUAUGGUGAAAAUGAUUGAGCUGUCUACUGUUUUUAAGAUCCAUAAAAAAUUCUCACCUAAUUGUAUUAAAACUGUAUAUUCAGAAAUCAUUAACCUACAUUACAAGAUAUGAUUUUCAAGGCAUAUUCAAUAAUUUAGACUACAAAAUUUCCUUGUUAACAUUAGAAGGAAGAAGUGAUGUAGAAUCACAAACAACACUCAAAGGGGAAAAGGAAUAAACUCUCCAAUUCUAUUAAUUCUCAGUUGUCAAUAUCAGUAAUAAUAAAUUCUCUAGAAAAAUACCUAAUCCAUUAAGUUACAUAGGUAUAUAUAUAGAUUAAUAUUAAUUUUACAACUACUACCACUAAGAUUAGGAAUCCCAAAAUAGGAAAACACUAUUACUAAUUAGGAAAUACUAACCUUACGUUUGGCAUUAUUCAUUUUGCAAGAAAAUAAUUUAAAUGAAUUCUUGCAAAAUCAUGCAAGUUUUUCAACUUCUUUUAAAAUUAAAAUUCUUUAAGUUAAAAGAAUAAAAUUCUUUUAUUUCAAAUAAGAGAAUUGUUAGAAAACAAAUUAAUUGAGUUGAAUUUUAAAUUCCAAACGGAGGGUAAGUCUAAUAGAACUUGUUAAAUUUUCUUAAUAGUAAUAGAAUCCCUAAAUAUAAAAACCAAAACUUCCUAAUUGAACUAUGAAAUCUUAAUUAAGGUUUUAAUUUCACAAUUAAAAGUUGCAUGUCCUACAUCGAUUGUUUACCCAAAAAUUAAUGGGUUUAUAAAUAGAUAAGGUCAGUUUGGGUUAACCAUUUGGGCCAAGUGCCAAGUGAAAAUUGGACUCCAAAAUUAUUUGGAUUUGUUUGGACCGAACUAUUACAAUUAGUACUAGAGCUACCCAAGUAAGAAAAUUGUGCAGAGCUUUGUGAGGAAAGGGCGGGCUACCCGUGUGAGACAAGGUCGCAAAAUUGAGUGGGGGAGAUUAUAGUGUCCCAUAUUCAUUAGUAUCUCACGUUGAUUGUUUACAGAUUAUAGUGUCCCAUAUUCAUUAGUAUCCCACGUUGAUUGUUUACAGGAAAAUUGAUAGAUUUAUAAAUUGUUAGCAAAAACUAUUAAGUAACUUGGGUUAACCAUUUUGAACCAAGUAAAAACUGAGCUCUAAAGUUAUUUGGGUCAGUUAUGGCCGAGCUAUUACCAAAGUUAACUCAAAAUAAUCCCUAAAUCUGUAAUUUCUCAAGUCCAUCAAAAAGAGAUGCAACAUUUGGAAGAGGGCAAGGCACGUGCCUAAAGAAAACAACCCUCGCUGCUCACUAUGAGAAUGGCACUAGAUAUGUAUGAAAAAGGAUGGGUGUGGGCAGUGGCUGGAGGAAAAGCAAAAGGGCACACACACACGUCAUAUGUGUCACACAGCCAGUAUUAUUGGAACAAAUAACCUCUUUGAUAUCUGUCUUGAGUCAUUCAGAACAUAACCUUUUGGUCAUCUGUAGUUUUUGAUACGUAACAUGGAAAGGAAUUUUUUUUUCAAAACGAGGACAGAGGGAAAAGGCAGCACACAUCAAACCUCAGUACAAAUAUGCAAUCAAAUUCAUCAAUUUGCUACAUCUGGAGCAGCCUCAUUUUAAGCUAUUGUCAGCAUAUAAAUUGGUAGUUAUCAUCAGAAAUCUGCAAUUGUAUUUAUCAAAUGAGGACUUUUUUCUUUUUUCUUUGAAAAAGAAAAUGUAAAAGAUGUCUAAUUUAUCAAAUGAGAAGUUCUUUUUCUUUUGUUUUUUAAUGACAAAGUAAAAGAUGCCUAAACCCCAUCUUUAAAAAAUGACAUGCACUAUCUCCCCCAUGCAAUAUGCAACCAAAUUCACCAACUUAUUAUUUUGAGAGCAACCUAUCGUCUAAAUAAGCACUAAAAUAAAUUGCCAGUCAUUACUAUUACUAGAUAUCUUGGAUUCAAAAUUUUCAACGGUACAUCGAAAAGGAUAUUUGCAGUAUGACCCACAUGAGGAGGUUCAGAGCAAACACAUCCCAUCAAAGGGAAAGAGCAACUCACCUGUCCUGGUUCCCAAGUCAAAUAGAAGUUACCACGGCUUGAUACAGCAACAUAGUUUCCAUCUGGAGAGCGAUUCACAGUAUUAAAUGUGCCUGUAUAGUAACUUGCACCGCUAAUACCACUAGAAACUGUUCUGCAACAACAAUGAAGCUAAGUUAACAUCUAGCAUGUUAAGGAUUAAAAGUCUUUGAAUUAAGAGAUCUCACUGCAUUUCAACUCAGGUAAAUUUGAUAGAAUGCUUAAGCUUACAAAAAAACAAAAGCAUACAGAUAUACAAAUGAAAAUUUUCACAGGUUCAGAAAUCGGUAAUGUAAAAGCAGAGGUUCUUGGCAUAUGCAAGCGUUGAUAAAAGCGAGAAAAAUAAACAAUUAAUCAUAAGAUACGACUGUAAAUAGGACGAAUGGUAGAACAAGCAUUGAUAUGAGAAACCACUAACAAUAGGUGUUUAACUUGUUCACCUACAAAUGCAACGACUUCAAAGAACAUAGCAGAUAUAAUAGCAUUUUGGCAGGAGCACACCUACCUAUUAAGAGUUGCCGAAACCGUUUCCUGAACUGCAGCCCUCCAGUUAUAACCCCCAUUUGAUGUGAUAUAUAUUGCUCCUUCGUCAGUCACCAUCUCUGCACUUUUUUCUCCAGUUGCUUUUAUAUAUACCUAUAAAUAUUGUAACAGAACAAAGAAGGGUAACCUUUGUGCAUCAAAUAUCUCAAAAGUAGAAAAAAGGGAUAAGCUCACCAUAUCUCCGGGAAGCUGAGCACUGAGAGGUAUUCUCUGCCAGGUUUCUCCAGCGUCCGAGGUGUACAGCAAAAUGGCUGGUUUUCCAACAAUCCAUCCUUCCUUUCCUUUGAAGCUAAUAGAAUUGAAUCUAUAGUUGAAAUCCUCAUCUUCAGCUGAUGAUAUUGAACGCGAAACCCAAGUGUUUCCACCAUCUUUAGUCUCCAAAAUGGUUUGCCUGGUCCCCAGCAGGAAACCUACAUAUCGGAAAAAUUCCCAUAAUUUUCCAGUACUUUCUGGGGAAUAUUAAACGGAAAAGAGACGGAAGAAAGUAACCAUGGUUCAAUUCAUCGGGGACGAAGGCGAUGUCGAGGAGGACGACACCAGGAUCGAUGGGGAGGUAGACUCUUUCCCACUCGGACAGGGUCUCUUCAGCAUUGGCUGGUUGGGGAAUAAGAGGAGCAAACAAGGGAAGUGAUACGGUGGCUGCUUGGGAUAAGAAAUGCCUGCGAUUGAAGUGGUGGUGGUGGUGGUGGAGAGAGGCCCUGGGCGCUAAGCGAGAGAAGUGUGGUCUCUUAAAGCAAAGAAUCUUCGCUGUGAACGCAGAGGUUGAAGAGGCCAUUGUAGCAGGAUUAUGCUCCGUCGACACCACAGUCUCUCUCUCUCUCUCUCUCUCUCUCUCUCUCUCUCUAUCUUCCUCUCUCUCUUAUCCGAAGGUAGUUAUCAUCAACUGCUACGCGGGCGUUUUCAAGCGUCUCAAUAUUCCAACGUGGAUAUGUCAUAUUAUUUUAUUAUUUCUAUUUUACGGUGUGCCACUUGUAAUGCAGUAUAUACAAGUAAUGAAUCUGACUUACAUUUAAUGAUCUAAAAGCCUUUCUCAAAGGUCAAUUGGAGACUUACCAGAUCGAUUGUUCCUCCCAUGCAGUAGGAGCAUAAUACUAAAUCUUUCUAACAUCUAGCAACUAUAGAUUUAAAUUUGUCUCUGGCUAACACAGCUAUAGCUACUGGUAUCGAAGUGUUCUUUCCUUCCGCAUCACAAUUAAAUUUAUAACCUCUAGUGAGAGAGCAGACCUUGCCAUAACUAACCCUAUUGAUCAAGAGCUAUCUUUGUGCGUAGAAGAAGCGAGAUUUCCACAUUUUUGCAAUAGAGUAAAAUCAACUAAGAUAUGCCUGAAAGUUUUAAGUGGAUUAGGAAUUGCUGCUUUAAAAAACUCGUUUAUUUCUUUCUUUUCAAAUAUACUAUAAAGUGAGAGUGACCAAGGUCAUAGUAUGAUGUGGAUCACCAACUAUACAAAAACUAUCCCACACUUCUCCCACCAAGAAAAAAAACUCAGAAAACCCAUUAGAUUAAGCUUAUAACUACACGGACUAAGAGACCAAGUAGCAUCAACAUGCUGGCACUAGAAUAAAACAUGCUCUGAAAUCUCUAGGUGUUGAUGACAUAAAGGAUGGAGAGGAAUAGGCAGCAUACCUCGAUGUAAAUUGGAUAACGCAAGUAAAACAUUGUGAAUCAUGUACUAAAGUAAAAACUAAAGCUUCAGGGGUACUGAAACAGACAAAAGAAGCUUCCAUAUCCUAAGAGAAACACUAGACAAAGAGGAUGGGCCAAGAAAUUCAUAAUUUGUAGCCGAAAUAAAAAUUGAUAACCUAACUUACCAUGUAUUAUUUGUGUUUUUCAAAAUGCUAAAUUAAAGAAUUUGGUGUAUUCCAAUGUGCUACAAAAUCGAGAAAAUAGCUUGAGCUUGAGUAGAACUAAACCUUUGCAGCACAAGCUGAUGCCUCCAUUCUAAAGUCGUGGGAUCAAUAAGAUCUACCACCGUAUUAAGAUGGAUUGGUGAUAAAACCAGGUCAUGAAAGAGAAAAUCUUUUUAAUUGAGGAAUCCAUGGAUCUAACCAAAUUAGGGUACUGCUACCAUCAUUAAUAAUCAUGUGUACACCCAAUUGAAGUUUCAGCUAAAAGCUCUGCCAAAACCGUGAACUCCGUUGUUUUAUUAUAGCUUGCCAGAAGCAGGUAUGUUGGUGUUAGAGUAUAAAUAUAAUUGUACAUAAUUAAAUGAGAUAACAUAAUCAUAGACUAAUUGAUUGAUAAAGGAUUUUUAGGAGUUGUCUUAAUAAAGUCUUGUAAUCUGUAUUUAUACACACUUACUUCAAUAUAGAAAACACACUAAAAUUAUCCAAUUAUUUCUUAUCUUAUUACAUGGUAUUACAGCCUUUGAUCUAAUUUUUUGGUGUCUGUUUUCUUUGAUUUCACGGGUUGAGAAACUGGUUGUUGGGUCAUCAUGUUUGGGUGUCCGUUUGGUCUCACCGCCGGCACAGGGAGAGGCGCAGGAUCAUUUCCAGUCGUUUCUCAGAAAACGAUGACCGUAGCUUCUGCAAGUGGUGCUCACGCCCCAAUCCAAGUUUUCACCCCAAUUUCACGCAACGGCGUGUGGGAGCAUGUGUGGUGUUCGUUUGACUUCUGAUUUUCUCCCUGACGGUCGCCCGGUCAUUUUCAGCAUGUCUUUGGUGGAACUCCAGUCAUACGAAAUUGAUUGGAAAGUGUUCUUCAGUGGUAGCCUACUAUUCACUGGGUUACUAUUCAUGGGGUUAAGUUCUGUUGUCUUCUUUUAAUUCGUUUGAAGAUAUAGGAGUAUAGGGUUUUGGUUAAAAUAGUUUUUGACAGUAAGACUCAUAUUAUUAAAAUUAUCUCAACGUCUCCAGUAAUGGCUGAGACAAGUAAAACUUGUUUUAUUUUCUCUUCAUAUAAAUAGGUCAUUGAUCCUGGUACCACGGAUCACAUGACAUGUAAUCCUUAUAUUUUUACAAGCUUUCGAUCUCAUAAAACACCUUCUCCUGUUACUAUAGCUGAUGGGUCAACCUACAAUGUUGAGGGUCCUGAAACUGUUAAACCUACUUCUUUUAUUGUCCUAUUAUUUGUGCUAAGUUUACCUAAUCUUGCCUUUAAUUUAAUCUCUGUGAGUAAACUUACCAAAGACCUAAAUUGUUAUAUUUCCUUUUUUUCUGAUCAUUGUGUCAUUCAAGAUCUUGUGACGAAGCAGAUUAUUGAUAAAGAACAUGUAUUUGGGGGUCUCCACAUUUUGGAUGCAUGGGUGCAUCGGUCUGUUUCCUGCUCCAGUGUUGUGUCUCCAUUCGAAACAUAUUGUCGGUUGGAACAUCCUUCUUUAUCGGUUUUGAAAAAGCUAUACCCUUAAUUUCAUGAUGUAUCUUCACUGGAAUGUGAGUCAUGUCAUUUUGAAAAAUAUCAUUGAAGCUCUUUAAGUCCUAGAGUUAAUAAAUAAGUUGAGUAUGCUUUUGAAUUAGUUCAUUCAAAUGUUUGGGGCUCAUGUUUAGUUGGAUCUAAGACUAAAUUCAGAUAUUUUAUCACUUUUAUGGAUGAUUACUCUAGAAUGACUUGGAUUUAUUUUAUGAAGCAUCGUUUGGAAGUGGUUUCUCAUUUUUCUGCCUUUUGUGCUUAAAUCAAAACUCAAUUUAAUGUUUCUGUGCAAAUUUUACAAAGCGACAAUGCUAAAGAAUAUAUGUCAGAAUUAUUCCAGGCUUAUAUGACUCAACAUGAUAUUCUUCACCAAUCAUCAUGUGUUGAUACACCUGCUUAAAAUGGAGUAGCUGAAAGGAAGAAUCGACAUCUCCUUAAGAUUGCUCGAGCUUUGUUGUUUCAAAUGCAAGUUUCUAAGCAAUUUUGGGCUGAUGUUGUCUCUACUACAUACUUUCUCAUUAAUCGCGUGUCCUCCACAGUAUUAAACGGUAAUACUCCUUAUAAUGUCCUCUUUCCUAAGAAACUAUUGUUUCUUGUAGAACUAUGACUUUUUUGCAGCACUUGUUAUGUUCGGGAUGUCAGACCUCAUGUUAUUAAACUUGAUCCUAAAGCUUUGAAGUGUAUUUUUUUUGGGAUAUUCUUGCCUUCAGAAGGGGUAUCGGUGUUACUUUCCAUACCUCAACAAAUAUCUAGUCUCAACAGAUGUAACCUCUUCCUAGAAAAUUUUUUUUAUCUUGUUGCACAAACCUCUACUGGUCAAGAGGAGAACGAUAAGUGGCUCAUCUAUAGAAUCAUAUCUGAUGGAGGGAACUCUUCGAGUAUGCCUUAUGUUGUACAAUCUGAUGAUAACAUUCCUCCUAGUACUCAACCUCAUAUUAAACCAUCAGUUGUUCAAGUUUACUCUUAGAGACCAGUACCUGAUGAUAUAUGUGCUGCACUAGAAUUUUCAUCGUCAUCGGAUCCACCACCAAGUGACCUUGACCUCCCCAUUAGUUUUCAUAAAUGUAAACAAGAGUGUAAGUCUACAUAUUUUAUCACUAACUUUCUGUCUUAUGAUCACUUGUCUCAUUCUUCUAUCUUUUUAAUUGUCUCUCUAGAUUUCAUUUCUUUGCCUAAGACAGUUAAAGAGGCCCUGACCCAUUCUGGAUGGCGUAGUGCAAUGUUUGAGGAGAUUAAGGCUUUAAAUAAAAAUCAUACUUGAAAACUAGUUGAUUUACCCUCUAGCAAGAAGGCUGUGGGCUGUAAAUGGAUUUUUGCCAUCAAAAUGAAUCUAGAUGGUUCUGUAGCAAGGCUUAAGGCCCGUCUUGUCGCCAAAAGUUAUGCACAGAACUAUGGCAUUGACUAUUCUGACACUUUUUCUUCUGUGGGAAAAAUAACCUCAGUUCGCUUAUUCAUCUCCCUAGCUGAUUCUCAGCAUUGGCCUUUACACUAGUUAGAUAUCAAGAAUGCAUUUUUACAUGGCGACCUCCAAGAGGAGGUGUAUAUGGAGCAACCACCAGGGUUUGUUGCUCGGAGAGAGUAUAGAAAAGUAUGCCUUUUAAAAAAAUCUUUGUAUGGUUUGAAGCAGAGUUCCUAUGCAUAAUUUGGUAAGUUUAGUGAAAUUGUUCAAAAAUUUAGAUUGAAAAAAAGCAAGUGUGACCAUUCAGUUUUCUAUAGAAAUUCAAAUACUGGUAUUAUUCUCCUUGUUGUGUAUGUUGAUGACAUUGUUAUAAUAGGAAAUGAUAGUACAGGGAUCUCUUCUCUUAAAAAUACUUGCAUGCGAGUUUUCAUACCAAAAACUUGGGUCAACUUAAGUAUUUUUUGGGAGUUCGAAGUCUUGAGGAGUAAAAAGGAAAAUUUUCAUGUCUUAAAGGAAGUAUAUCCUUGACUUACUUGCAGAAACUGGGAAGAUGGGAGCUAAACCUGUUAGUGUAUUUGCCCUAGGCCAUUAUCUUGAACCUUUUUGUAUGUCAUUUUGGUUAUUAAUUAAAAGAGGUUUUAUUAUCAUUAUUAUUUGUUUGCAUGUUACAUAAUAAUGAUUAUCAUUCCUGGUUACUUAUUAUUAUGUUGAUAAUAAUAAAAUAUAACUAGUAUGAUUAUUGAUUGAUAAUCAUGAGAUGAUUAUGUAUAUGUUGAUAUAAUUCAAUAAUCAUAAAUACUUAUUAGAUAACAAAGUAUUGGAUGGACUCGCAUUGAGAUCACUAUAUGAGUUAUUGUCAUAAAUGAAUCUCAAAGUAGUUAUGUCUUAAUCCUUUGACUUGAGAUUAUCAUUGUUUCCAACAUAAAGACUGUUAUGUUUUGACAUAACCAAACAUUGUCUUUAAUCGGACAAUCAUAAAAGUUAUGAUUGAGCAUAAUAGAAAUUAUAUAGAGAAUAUUGAACAAUCAAGAUAGAAUUUGUCCCUUUCUUUGAGAGAGAUAUCUUCUAGACCCCUCGAUAAGUGAGACUGAGAAAUGCAUAGCCGUGCUCAAAUGAAUUGAUAGUGUGAUCAAUAUCAUUUGAUUUUAUCAGUAUACUUAGAGAUCGAGAAAUCAUAAGUUUGAACAUUAUAAUUUUGACAUUGACCAUGACUUAUGUUCAAACUAGAUAUCGUGUGACAAAAGGAUUAAUACAUAUUCUAUUUAUUAGGUUUUAUCGGACUAUCGAUCCUCAUAUUAGUUGGUGAUGUUCUAUGAUCCAAAGAAUAUGGUUUACAGUAGUUGUUUAAGCUUGUCCGGUGAGGAGGGUGUUCCUCUCUUUUUAUUCCUUCUCUUUCGUCUGCUAGUGACGCCUAACGGCCUCUCUGCUACAGUGUCACCUGCCUCUGUCAUGCAGGUCCAUACGUAUGGGGUUGUCAGACAUCCUCUCCAUGCCAGACGGCUAUUUAAUUCCCUCCGGCGCACGUGCAGGCAGGGCUGCGAGGUGACUAGGCCUGCUGUCCUUCCUCAUGCCACAUCACCGGGCUAAGCUUCUUCUCGAGGGACCUGGGCUUGUGAGUGAUCAGGUCUGCUUUAUGGGUCUAAAUCAGGGCUGAAGAUAUCGGACCGGUCCAUCAGGGAGGCUACAUGGGCUUUGGGCCAGUAUUGCCUUCAUGGGCCCGGCCUCAUACUAAGACGUGUGAAGCCCGGCGGUCAUCAGUUGGGUAGUCAUAAUGUCUUGCUAGAGGCCGCUUAUGAUUUAUGGGUCUUGUGGGACUGAGGCUAUUGCCAUUUAAUGUGAGCCCAAUGGGUCACACACAAAAGAACGUUGUUGAUGUGUUAUAUUAAUAGGCUAAAAACCCAUUAGUAUAAUUAAUAAUAAUAAAGAUGUUAUUAUUAUUAAUAUUAAUUAUUAUUAUAAGAUAAUAAUAUUUAAAAGAUCUACAGUUUAUCUGUAACUGUUACAGAUAAAAGAUUUUCAGUUUUCCUUAUCAAAAUAAACUGUCACGUAAGAUAUUUGAGUAUCUGCGAGAUUGUGAUAGUGGGUGAUAAACACAACUCUUUUGCUAAAAGAAUUGUGGGAAAACAAAAAGACUUUAAAACGUAUAAAACUCCUGCUUCGAAUUGUGGGGGUAAAGUUUUUGGAGAAAUUGUUUUGAGCUAUAGAUUGAGAGAGCACAUAGCUUAUCCAUCUUUGAGAGAGCUAGCACUCUAGAAGAAUAAAAGACGUUCGUGUAGAUACCAUUGAGGGUAUUCGUUUCAAAAGCAACACCUUGAGUCUGAAAUUUUAUCUUCUUGUCGAGUCUAACAGGUUAGUCUCGUAUCCUUCUUUUUGAAAUAAACGAAGCACUUGGAUCCUGGGAGAGAAAUAGAGAUUUUUUUAUUUUUCGCUACAUGUUUUGAGUUACAGUAAUCUCUUGGUUUCCUAACAAAACCCUGUAGCACACCAAUGAUUCCUAAUAUAUGUCUCACAAAGAAUGACAGUGACUUUUAUGAUGAUCUAGAGUGAUACAGGAGGUUGGUUGAAAAGUUGAACUACCUUAUGGUGAUGACUUGGUCAAAUAUUGCUUUUGCAGUAAGCAUUGUAAGCCAUUUCAUGUCUACACCUACGGUGAAAUAUUAGGCCGCUCUAGAAUAAAUUCUAUAUUAUCUAAAAGGGACCCUUGGACUCGGUAUACUCUACAGUGAUCAUGGACAUACUGCACUUGAGUGUUUUUCUGAUAUUGAUUAGGCAGGAUCCAAAAGUAAUAGAAGGUCAACUACAAGCUAUUGUGUAUUUGUUGGAGGGAACCUAAUAUCUUGGAAAAGUAAGAAGCAAAAUGUAAUAUUCAAAUCUAGUGCCAAGUCAAAAUACAAGGUCAUGACUCAAUCCACUUGUGAGAUUCUGUGGAUAAAUCAUCUGCUGAAAGAAGUUAGUAUGAAUGUUGCGUCACCCGCAAAACUUUGGUGUGAUAAUCAGACUGCUCUUCACAUUACUUUUAAUCCAGAACACCACAAACGGACUAAGCAUAUUGAAGUUGAUUGUCAGUUCAUCCGUGAGAAGAUUCAAGAAAAUUUAAUCUCCACCAAUUAUGUGAAGACAGGAGAGCAAUUGGGUGAUCUGCUCACUAAACCUUUAAAUGGGCCUCAAAUAGAAUAUCCUUUUAAUAUGUUGGACAUGAUAAAUAUCUAUACUCUGAUUUGAGGGAAAGUGUUAGAGUGUGAAUAUAAUAUAUACAUAAUUAAAAGAGAUUACAUAAUUAUAACCUAAUUGAUUGAUGAUUCUUAGGAGUUGCCUUAAUAAGACAUUGUAAUCUGUAUAUACACACACUUACUUCAAUAGAGAAAGCAUACUGAAAUUGCUCAAUUAUUUCUUAUCUUGUUACAUGUGAAAAAUACAAAUCUCCUUUCCCAUAAGUUAGAAGGUUUAAAGGAAGUCUCUAAAAUUGCUUUGUCUGGCAGGCUAAAUUAAAAUUUUCAAAAUCCUUAAAAUCAAGACUUCCUCUAAAUUUAAAUUAAACGAGCAUUGCCAACUAACCCACAUUAUUGCUAUCCUACCAACAUUUAGAUUUUAAAUUAUUUAAUUUGACACAAAACUGUUUAGGAUAAUUGAUGUAGUGAUAAUUUAGAUUGAUUAUUUACAUAUUUUUAUAAUUACAUUCAUUUAAUUUUAUUAUUAUUUUUUAUUUAUUAUAUAUUUACGUUUAGUUAUAGAAUUUUUAAUUUUAUGUUUGUAAUUAGUAUUUUUCUUUAUUUUUAUCAUUUUUAUAGUUUAAAAUUAAUUAAGGCAUGAAUUAGAUACGCUCUGAGGAAAUUUGGACAUUUUCGGAGCACUUUUAUGAGAAAAAGAAAAGACCAAGGAGCAAAUCCGUGUGAUUGAUGUCUGCACCAUAUUUUGGCACUUUACUCCAUAUUUUAAUGAUUAUAAUACUAAAAAAAUAUAUAUAAACAAAAGAAAAUAUGAGGCAGUCCAUCGAUACCACAUGUUUUCACUUUUCGGCAUAAAUUAAGAGAAACAUGCGCACUUCAAUCUGUAUUUUUAUAAAAAACUUAGUAUUUUAAGUCUACCCCUAGGGCAAGAACAGAGGUGUUUAAAAAAUAUAAAUACUUAGAUACCUAAAAGGCAGGAUAUGCGCAUUUAAAAUUUUUAUUUUUCUCCCCUACUCCUUUAUUUUUUUUUAAUUAUUUUUAAAAAAAAUUUCAAUGAAAUUUAUUUUUAAAACUUUUAUCAUGAAUAGCUAAAUUUCUUUAGUAGGAGAUUUAAUGUGGUUUGGAUUGAUUCAUUUAAUUUAUUUAAAUUGAUUUUUUUAUUUAAAUUAUUAUUAAUUUUUAAAAGUACUGUUUUUGAAUAUUUUUAUAUAUAAUUAAAUAAUUUUAUCUUAAAAAUUAAUAUUGAGAGAAACACUUUAAGAUUAAAUAAAAAAUUAAAUAUUAUACAAAUAGGAUUGAAAACGAUAAUUUUAUCUGUAGAGCCUUAAAAAAUAAUCAAGAGUGUCUAAGAGUUAAGCUUAUUUACCGAUGCAACCUGCCGUGUCUUUGACUUUUAGCCACAAUGCCCACAUGUCUGAAGCAACCACACAAUCGUCCAGAAUUUGCCAUCUCUAGUGUGGACCAAAACCUACGCAACCACCAGCUCCAAUCAGUGUUACUCAUUAUUAUUUUGCCUCCCAGCAAUGUCGAGCUUCCCCUUUUCCCUCUCCUUUCACCAGCGUCUGCCACCACAUCAACGCCCAUUAGCCCUUUUCUUUCUUAUCUCCACUUUUCAAUCUUUUUUUGGGUUGCAGUCAUUACACAGUCCCAGGUACCUCUCUUUUCUUUUUAAUACAUUUGAUUUGGUUGUUUUGAUUUGAUGAGGAUAAUUUUAGUUGAUGAUCUCCUUGUUAUGUGGAGUUUGAAAGUCUACCUUUUGAGCAGGUAUUAUAUAUAGAUGGACCGAAAAUUUACAAUUUAAUCAAUAUAUUAAUGGACCCUAUUUUUGUUUAACUAGAUUUUGCAAAGUAGUGGUUUGGGUAAUAGGAAUUGCAUUAUUCUCAAGUUUUGUAGCUUCAGUUUGGCUCGUCAUAUCUUCUAGUUUUUUUUAAACUUUGUUAUAUCUUCAUCCGUUUUAUUUUAUUUUAUGUAUUUUUCUUUUUGUAAGGUUACAGGAAUGGCUCCAAAGCAUAGACCUAAUGAUUAUUAGGCAACUUCCUCCCCCCAGACGGUGGACCCAAACAGUAGCAUAGUCUACACAGCGCCCACGCCGUGCUCCCAUACCAUCGCUUCCACCACCUCCACCAGCUCUUCCUUGGAGUUUUAAGGACCAACAGCAUCAGCUCAUACAGAUCAUCUAACUGACGUUGCAAAACUAGUACCUGAUCAGUAUUGCCACGAAAACAGUAUUAUGUCAAAUACUAAACUGGUAUCUAUAAAAUUCUAAUCUACGCAUAAAAGCAAACAUUGCAAAACACUGAAUAAAAAAAGACCAAGCCCUAUUUACAACACAAAAAACUGAGGGUGUAAAAUCCAUUUAGCUCCAAACUAUAAUAAAUGUUUAUGCCUAGAUUGGAGGAAAUCAAGUAGAAGAAUAAGUGGCCCAUGAUCAGAUUCUGACAGUAACUCAUGAAUAGGCUGUGACUUUGGAAAAUUAAAAUUAAAAUUACAUUAAAAUAAAUCAUUUUGUUGAAAAAAAAAUAUUAAAAAAAAUAUUUCCCUUACUUUUGGCAAACAAACGAAGCCUUAAGCCACCUUUUCAUGACCACCAGACCUAAUAAGAAUAAAUAUUAAAUAAACAUAAAUACGAAUAAAUUUUAAAAAGGAAAAGUUAAAAUAAAGAGAAAUGUAUAUAUAUUGAUAUACAUGAAAAAUUAUAAGGCUUAAAUAUGAAUUACUGUGCUUUAGCAAUUGCCCAUGGCUUGCAUACAAAACUCGCAAGUUUUCUCCGCAAUACAAAUUUUUCUGAUUUUCAAACACAGAGCUAACAACCAACCAAUCAAACAAAGCAGCAACUCUAUUUCAAUUAUAAUUUAAUUAUAUCUUGUACUGUUCCUUCUUCCCCACCACUUCUUUUUCACCCUGUCAAGCGCACCUUCUUCAUUUCCAAGUUUAUUCAGAAUCACCUUUGUUUCCCGUAAUCUCGAUCCGUAAUCCUUCUUCCAAGAUUCAAACAUCUGCUUCAACCUUCUCAGUUCUCGGUCUGGAUUCAAACUCGCUUCUACCUGACCCGAUUUUACUUCCACCAAGAACUUGGCAUCAUCACCGAACACUUGUGUUCUCUGCUCAAAUUCUUCAGCCAACCUGCUUAUCACACUCAACCCUGCACUCAUUGGUCUUGCGCUAUGACCAUUGCUUUCUUGACCCCUGUAGUUACUUGCAGUAUCCCAGCUGAAGUCCCUUUCGUCGCUUGCGUUCACAGAUGCAUCCGAGUUUCUCUCAGAAUCAUCAAUUGCAAGGCUCUUCUUUGCAAUUGAGAGACUGGAUUGCAGAGAUCUCAUCUGUUUUUGCCACACUUCUUCCAUGGACUUCAUUUUCAAUUCAUAUUCCGACCAACGACUCUCGUAUUGUUGGAGCCGUUGAUGGAGGAUAUCAUUCUCCUCUUCUUUCUCUCGGAGCCCAGCCUCAGCUUUCAGAACUCGUCGCUGUAACUCAGCAAGAAAUGAUGCUUUCACCACCACCUCGUCCGACUCAUUCCCCUGUAGCAUACCACUUUUGUUCAAAAUAUUCUAUGGAAGAUUAUGAAUAACAAAGACAAAGCAAACCAACAAAAGUCUACCAAAUUUAUCAAUAUUAGAUAUCUCCAAAGUGAGCAAUAAAACUCAGAAUUUGGACAAACAGGAGGUAGAAAAUGAAAUAAAUAAAUACUAAUCAUGAAACAGUCUGUUUGAUUGUCGGGACUGAUUAUCAAUAUAGUCCAGAAAACGAAUAAUAGAUAUCAAUUAUGAUCAAUAGAAACUGAACUAUUCUCUCUACUGGGGAAAAACACACAAUUCAAUAAAGAAUUUAAAAAUGAGCAGAAUGCACUAAUUUCCGAUAACAUGUGACCAGAGUCCGUAGAAUAAAAAUCAAAUGAUGAAAGUAAUAAUUUCAAAAUUGCCAUAAGUUAAAUGGCCAGAAUAUGAUUUAAAACCAGUGCUUUGAUGGAAGGACAUUACAAUUUUAGUAACAAUCUCCGAGAGAAAAAGAUAAAUGGUGAGGAAAUGAAAUCUGAAGCUAACAGCAAUGAUUUUGCUAAGCCCAGUGUUGGAUAACUAAAAAGGUCAAAUUGUGACAGUUGUGCAAACUUGUGUGGUACACUUGGAUAUACAUUUGUUUACCAAAGGUUCCAAUAUUUCAAAAUAAAAAAUAAAAUAGAAUAAAAAGUUUAAAAAGAAAAAUUAAAAAUUAAAGAAUGCUCGUAAAUGGACAUUAAUUUCAAUAUAAAUGGAAGUAUGAGCAAAAUAGUCUGUAAAUAUGUUAAGGAUACACAGAAUACAAAUAUUACCUUAGUGCCAGACGUCAAUAAUCCUAUAUUGCCUGAGCAUCUUCUAACCAGGAAUCCACGAACAACUGCAUCAUAGCAAAGGAGAACAAAUUUCCAGUAAACAUCUUGUAUAUUUUAACAAGAAGUUGGCAGUGGCUUGAAAUCUAACUGAAACUCGCGUAGUUUUAACUGUUUCUCUUAUUUGGUCUUCUAAAAGCUAUUUGCUCCAACUUCAUAUCCACUCAUAACGCAUGUCCUACUAUUCGUUGAAUUUCCAUUUCAUACAAGUACAGUGUAGUGACUAUGGGCGAAACCCACUAGACUAGAACAUUUGGAAGUCGAACCUAGAAAUUUGGCUUCAUUUACUUGUAUAUCAGUAAGAAGUUUGAAAUGUACCUGAUUGUAUUAUAAUUGAUGCUGCAUGGAUUUCCUCGUAUUUUUUCUGAGAAAGAGUGGUUUUUAUUCGCCUUUGUAUAACAACAGCAGCUCUAUGUCUCUGUAGCAUGACUGCAUAUUCCCUUCUGAUUUUCUCUCCGCGAACAACUGUGCACAAACAAAAGAGACAUCACAAGAAUUUUUCAUAUAUGUCGUCUCUCUAUAGAGAAUCUUAAUGAUAAUUCAGAACAAAUUAUAAGCUAUUAGGAAGAGAAUUACGUGACUGAAGAGUAGCAAUUCCUCUCUUAAGCUCUCUAAGGUAACGGCGAGCUUGGAGCCCUCUGAAACAGCUUUGAACACGUAAAAUACUGUGAAGGGUACGGUUCCUUGUAUCCUCAAGCACACCAAUCUGCAUGGAUUUCCUUGUCACUCUAUUUUGAGUAAAUAAUAAAGCAAAUCAACACGUCAAGUAUUCAAAAACAAACUUAGGUUUUGAGUUUUUAAAAUGGAGUGGAAAAGGAUGGGAAUAGAAUCAUGGUUUUAGAUAAAGACCAUUUUGUUGCAUAAAGACAGUUAAUUAUAGGUUUUUUGCCCUCCCGUUAUCAUGACACUCGUUAUUUAAAGGCAACUGAAAAUUUGUUCCUGUAACAGUCGUUACACUUACACCCUUUACUUAAUGGUAAUGACUGUUAUUUACUGUUAACAGUAAUGGUCCGUUACUCUACUUUUUUUUUUGAGCUAAAUGAUGGCCACAGAUCUUCCUCAUUCUUAUUUUCUAGUCUAGACAGUUUUAAACUAUUGUCAUUUGUCUCUCUUGAGCAAAGAUCAUCAACCAUCUUUCUAGUUCCAUACAUUUAUAUCUUGUAGAAAAGCUGAGUUAUUCAUUUUUAUUUUCGAUAUUGUUUGCUUUUUUGUAAAAGAAAAUUAUAUUUGAUACUAGUUCUUUUUUUUGUUAGACCGAUACUAUGAAGUAGUAUUCUUUACUAUCCACACAAUUAUUUUAUAUUCAAAUUAAUUAAUGCUACUUGUGUCUAAUAAUGAUGGGUUUAUUGUAUUUAUUCUUGACCAUCUACUUAUUUCAUUAACUUUGCAAAUUUUUUUAAAAUAAAUUUCCAUCGAGAUAGGCCAUUACUGUUACUCCACGAUAUUGAUCCUGUCUCCGUUACUUGCUACUACAACCACGAACAUGAUUUGAAACCAUGAUUUAGAUUCUGAAUGUAGUCUUUUUUUUUUUUUACAAUUUUAAGUUUUUUUACUCAACUUGAAAAUGUGUAAUAAUAACUAUUAUGGAAAAAAUAUUUUAAAACUAGUAUGACAUAAAUUCAACAAAUAAGUGAACCUAAUACAAUGGAGCAUAUCUAAGGACCCAUAAACCUCCAAGUUUUCAUGUUUUUCAACCUUGAUAAUGUUAACCAAGAUUGCAAAAUUUAGCUUGAAUUCUACCCCAUUCGCCCAAGUUGGUUAAAAUUGAUAUAAAACAAUAGUAGUUUAUCACUAAUCUGAACAAGACUAUUUUCAAUGUUUUUGCAUUUACUCUCCUCCUGCCUCCCUUCUCUCUUCCUCUUACCCAAUCAGCCAAAAUGUCACUUUCUUUGUAAAAAUAAGCACCAAUGGGUGCACAUCUUCUAUGCUCAUGUUUAAGAAUUAAAUAUUGCAUUAUCACUGUUAAGAUAAAAUUUCAAUAGUAAAAAAAAAUAAUAAUAAUAAUAAUAAUAAUUAUUAUUAUUAUUAUUAUCAUUUUCUUCAAUUUUGCCCAUUGUGUAUAACUAAACUAAUUGCAUAAUAUUAAGUAAAAUUGCCUAAACUAAAAGAUUUGAAUAAAAUUGAAAAAAAAAAGAAGUCAAUAGAUUGGGAUUGUUUUGGUUGUUUCACCAAUGCAAUAAGAUGUGAAUGGAAUAGCUAUUCUUCAUUCUAUGUUGAAGUUGCAUCACAUAUAUGUGUGUCCGUAUGCAUGUGGGUGCAUUAAGUAAUAAGUAUUGCACAUUUUAUAAUUCAAAUAAACAAAAAGCUAAAAGUGCAAAAUAAUUAUUCCAUGCAAUAGCAUCAUUUGAAAUUUAGCCUUCAAAUAUUUAUCAUAUGUCAUUCCACAAAGCAAAUGAAUCAAUAAGAUACUUCAAUAAAGAGACAUCAAAGUGAUCUAACAGUAAAUCCAUGAUAUUUAUACUAGGCAGAAGAAUUCUAACAUCCACAUAACAGGGUAAGGUAUGAAAUAUUCACUUUUUAUUGUAUGAAAAAGGAUAAUCAUCAAGGAUGGUCAUUAUCAAACUCAUGAACCAUAAGUGUUCAUGUAGUGGAAACAAAGAACCAAAAUUUACCAUUUUACUGAAGAAAAGACUCCAGAUGACCAGUGUAUACUUGCACACAAAAACAGAUACACAUGCAGAUGUACCUAGGUUGGUCAGAUGGAGGGGGUACUUGUUAACCAACCUAAACAUGUCAGUUUAGCAAAAUACGUAACUGAAACCAGGAUAAAAUUUUCCAAAACAACAUGUUUUCAGUUUCACAAAAGUUUCACAGGCUGGAUUCAGCAUGCAAAUAUCUAGCCAUUACCCUAAAUUGCCGACUCAAAGACCUUUUAACCAAAGACCAAGCCAAAAAGGAAGAACUACAUAUGCUGUCGAAAAAAAUAGCAAAACAAUAAAAACAGAGGAAUUCAUUGAUUAAAAAAAAUAAACAAACAAAAAAUCCACAAUCACUGAUUAAAAAUCAACAUAUCACAAGAUCAAUGAAAACGACAUGAUCUAGAAGAAGAGAAACUAUACAACUUGCAAUAACUGGAAAAGGAAAAUACAUCAUUUGCAGCCUUGAAUAAAUAAAUGUCUAACCACCUUUGAUAAAAAAUAUCAAUAUAUUAGUCUGUGCCUCUUUAUCAUUUAGUGGCUAAUUUGCACUUCCAUAAUUCAGGAUAUUCUGCCCAUCUUGGACUCAGGGUUUCAUUUAGAUGCAAAAAGAACCUUUUGAGGCGCAAUGAGAGAGAGAGAGAGAGAGAGACGUUUCACAUAUCAAAAUUGUGGAGAAAUUAGGGAUUAAAUCAUAUUCUCGGGUCAGGACGAAGAGAAGUGGGAUAGAGAUGAAGAAAAGAUGCAUUAAGUUGAUUUAUAAAUGAAUCUGUGGUCAACUUGGAAUUAUCUACUAUAAUACUAUUAACAGAUAAGAAUCAAUUUAUGCAUGCUCUCCAAAUGGUGAUUUUGAGUCAGCUUGGGUUUAUCUAUUAUCUUACAUGUCAACCCAAAAAUUACUACAAAGGCUGGUUUUAUCUUAAUUGCCAACCUGAAAUCAACUCAGUCUUUUAAUAAUUAAAAAAAGCCCCUUAUUUCAGUAUGAUUUUACUCUGUUUCAUAUGAACUUUUGGUUCUGCAGGUUGGCUGAAUGCCUAAAUGUAUACAGGCAAAAAUAUGCAUUUAAAUAUAUAAAUAGUUAAAUUCUCUAGAGAGUGCAAAAAAUCCUAAUUAUUUAUAUAUUAUCACCAAAUAUAUGAAUGUACAAAUGUGUUCAUGUGCAUACAUAAAUUCAGAUUAAUCAUUUCACCUGUCCAGUUCGGAAAAACAAUUUUGUAUAGCCAACUUGAUACAUCUCGGGCAAUAUAUUGAACUGGUGAAGAAUUGCAACUGAAACACUGAGUGGAUCCUGAGAUGCAACACUUUCCAGGAGAAGGAAACCAUAUCUGGUGAAAAAAUAAAAAUCACAUGUCAAACACCUCAAGUAAAAUAAAAUGCAGACCUUUUGGCAUACAAGUAUUUUCUGAAGCUGUCAAGAGAAUAUAAUAGAAAAUUCUUUACCUUUUGGCAAAUUUCUGGUGUGACAUUCUGGUAGGAAACCCAGACCUCGAUAUGCGAACUACCUCUAGGACUCCACAACAUCGCAGCUGCUGCAAAACUAGCCCUUGCUCAUAUGACCCAGGAGACUGAGAGUUAUUGGCCUUGAUACAGCGUAUGAAAUGCGGAGUGGUAUUCUCUAGCCGCUGCAUCAAUUGAAAAAGUUGACCCUAAACACCAAAAUAUCCAGUUAGUGAGAGCUAUACAACAGGAAAGGUUUUGGACUUCAUCUACCAUUUUUCUGAGUUCUCCUUUUUUCCAUUGAUGUCCCAAACACACCAAUAUUUGCAAGACAAAAUUCAGAGAUGUGUAGACAAAUGCAAAAUGCUUGACAAUCUUCUCUCUAAAAAGCCAGAUGCUUUUUAUUUAUAUCUGCCUCGAGUGCAAGAUAUUAGAGGUUCAAUAGUCAACACCCCCAAAACCUCCCAUGAACCAAAGAAAAAAGCAAGAUUCAUUUUAUUCAUGCAAACCUUUCACAUGCACAAGAUCAUACAAAUUAAGUUUUAAGCACAUAAUGUUGAUCCAAAAAUAUAAAACCUAAAAAUAAAAAAUAAAAACAUGGAAAAGCUCUCUAGCAAUUGGAUAAAAAUUCCAACGCAUUGAAGCAAAACAAAACAAUAUCAAACGAAUGGUAGGGAAUGAACCCUUAGGCGUGGCCUGUAUAAAAUCUUUUCUUUUUUUUUUUUUGUCCCUUUUGGUUGUUGAUUGCACCGAAAAUCUUUAUAAGGGGAGGAAAUUGCUAAGGUUUGACUCUAAACCUUCUCCACUAUGAGGUAGGCACUUAGCCUCUAGUAACAAAAUUGUGGCCCACAAGCAGUUGUAGAAAAAGUGUGUAUUGACCCCCCCUUACACAAGUAAUAUGAAUAUUGACAAUUUCAUUGUAUUGAUUAUUCCGUAUAAAUGCAAAAAGUAGCUCAUCCAUUGAAUAUUUCAUUGAACAUAUAGACCAUGUUCUUUUAUGUGCCUCAAUGUUUACUAUGCUUGCCAUGCUUGACAUGCUUGCUCAAACACAAUGCUCAUGCUGGCAAGCCUAUGUUAAUAUACUCUUGUUGCUGCACAAAUUAUUGUGAGAUUCUCUAGAUUGACUUUGCUUGAAAGCAUUCACUCCAAGUGUCACAUGAGCCCAAACAAGUGUUAAAGUCUUGCCUCGUGAUAUGGUAUGGGCAAACACUAGCCUAAACCUAGUGAUAGUUGCUUAAAAUGUUGUAUGUUUAUGAUUGAAAUCUAAUUAUUUGAUUCAUGAUGGUUAUGUUAUUAGAUAUUUAUAAGAGCACGUAAGAGAAGAUGGAGCAAAGAAUAGGUAAUUUAGCAUAUAAGGAAGCAAACACAUGGAGCAUGUGUGGUUCGAAUUUGAAGAGGACUUGGUCAACAACAAAAUGGGUCUAAAGGUGUCUUAUUCAAGGUAUUUAGAGGCUAAUGAUACAAUAUGAGCAUAUCUAGGCACCAAAGCAUGUUGGGCAAAAUUGAGGCUUCCAUGGGCAGCCUUGUUUAAGCUUAUUUGUGAUCAUCUAGUAUCUACAGGUUCAAUAUGACCUAAUAGGCUUAGAGGGGCCCUAUUUAACAUGUUUUUAAGGUGAUGUAUGAAGAAUUAGCAAAGAUGAACCUAAUUUAAACAGUGGGCCGCAUGUCUUGGUGAUCUGUAUUUUUUUUGGCUUCAAAGUUAUGAGUUAAGGUGGAAAGCAUGCGGGCCUUAUUUGAUGGGCUUGAAUGGAUUAUCUUGCAUUUAGAAUGAGUUUUAAGAAAGAGGGAAAAAAGUGACUAGGGUUUCCAAAAAGUGGUCUUUAUGCGUCGGUAGAUUUGGAGAGUUUUUAGCCAUAAGAGUCCUACCUUAUCCAAGUUUGUUGCAGAAAUCAGUUCUAUUAAUAAACAGACUUCUAAAUCAGAUCUGGAGUUAACUUAAUUUCCUAUAUACAAAAGCUCCUAAAUCAAAUACAAAAAAGGCUAUUUUCUUCUAUUUUACUUAAUGGCCAAAUUUCCCCUUAAGCUUCAAAAGGUGAAGCUUGCUUUGUGGAGGUGAUGAUUCAUUCUUCUUUCUUUUGACGCAUUGCAGCUCUUCCCUAUUUUAGGAGUGACAUGGCAUCAUUGGUUCAUAACUACCUGAAUUCUAUACAAAAGGGGGCAGCACUCUAUUUUUCUACUCCUUUUGUUAAUUUGCCUAUUUCUUUUAUUUUUAGUUAUGUGUGAGUAAGGAAAUAGUUGAAACCAUGGAACAAUUGUUGUGAGAUUUAUUUUUAUUAUUGAACAAAUCAAGAUUUCAUCAAUUUGAAUAUCUAUGAUUCUCUUGUGAUUCAAGUAAUGAUUGCAGGUUUGAUUGUUUAGCUGGCCUACCAUUCAAUUGAGCAUGUAUUGCUAGUUAGAAAGAUUGGAUAUGUAAUAGCUUGGUUAAUCUAACACCAGUAGCAAAAGUCUCAUGUGUGUGAAUUCAUCAUCAUACUUAGAGUUUCAUAGUCUAAGUUGAAUAAUUAUACUGCUUAUGUGUAGUUGUUGCUUAGAAUUGUGAUGUAAAUCUAGCUGUGACUGAACUGAACAUAAUAUGCGCAUCAUUAGUUAGUCACUUGUUUUAAUUAAUAUAGUAAUAAGGAAGGAUAAGGAAAUUAAUGCUUCAUUGGUUUCUAUAGCUGAUUUGUUCAAAUUGAUGAAUAUGAUCUUUAGUAUCAAUGAUUAGCAGUUGAUCCCAUGGUGGAUACGCUCUCUCCACUCCACUAAUCUGGUCAUGUUUAAGAUUAAUAAUUCAUUAGUAUUAAACUAACAUUCUAGCUUUCUUAGUUCUUGAAUUUAGGAAAUUUUAUUGAUUCUACAACAAAUAACCCUUUUACUUACUAUUGCAUAUUUAGUUACAUUAGUUUGAGCCUUUUUAUGUGUUAAUUUCAUGUAGUUUAAUCAUUCUAAUACACUUGUCAUUCAUGUGAUUUAGAUGUUGCGUUUCAUAAGAUCUGUUUUAUUGCUUUACAUUUACUUCAUUCCCUGUGGAAUCGACCUCUUACACACUUUGUACACAAAUAGUUUAGGUAGAGCAUAUUUAAUUGGUGCAUUCAGCACGCAUACACCAAGAAGAACAAAAAAGGUAGCCACAGCAGGCAUAUUUGUACCUUCCCAUGCUCUGGAGCACAGAUUAUCUAAGAUCACCAUUAGCAUGUUGAAACUAAAAGCAAUGGCAUAAUAAGAGUAGCGGGUUUCUCAAAAAAAAAUCAAUUUAACUUGAAUUGAUGCAACUGCAAAUAAAUUACAAAAAUCACUAUCAAGUUUGCAGCAACUUUAUUAAAAUAUAGAUACAGGGAUUCAAACAAGCGUAUAAUUCAAGCUUAUACCAUCAUGAUUGUUCAAUUUAAUUUUGAAGUCAGGUUUAGUGAAAAAUGCUGAAAAACAUACCUUGAAUUUUGUAGCAACACUCAGCUUUUGAGAAUCUGCCCCACCUGCUUUAUAUAAAGGACCAACCACAGGCUUCUCUGACUGAGUAAGCAUACUGGAGGCAAAUAUCCGAGGAAGAUGGCGUGAGCAUGAAGACAAAAGUUGAAUGGAAUCCAAGUGUAAUAAGUCCCUAUUCUUCUCCAAAAAUCCUGUUGUAUCAUAUGUAACCUGAAUUGGAUAAAGUAGUCAGGUUGAUUUAGAAUAGCAAAAAUUUUAUUGGACCCAAAUACCCCCUCCCCCAACACCCUCUUCUUCUUUUCUUUGUGAAUUAUGGUAAAAUCAACUAGCAGCUUUGGUUGAAUAAUAGAUGUCGAACUGAACCCAACACUAAAAGACAUUAGAACAUUGAAAUGACUCAAAACUUGCUGAAUCUCUUUCUCUUCAUUCUAAAAUCAGAAGACCAUGCACUCAACGAAACACUAUUGUGCUCUCAGCAAGACAGACCUAGCCAAUGCUUGAGACACACAAAAAAGAAGGUAAUCAUAGACCAUUUGGUUCAUAAAGUUCAUACCUCCCCUGCAUAAUGGCACACCGUGAAGGCUUUGCCUCGGUCCCCUCUGAAACAUGAAUUGCUAUGUAAAUGCUGCUUCAACUUGUUGGCGAAUGUCAAAUCCGUGCCAUUUGGAAAAGUGGACUCCUCAUCUAACAAAGAUAAUAACCCCAAAGGUUUCUGCAUAAAAAGUCGAAGAUAUCAACCACUUCAUUGAAGACAUCCAUAUAUCAUGAUAGAACACGCAAACCAGCUCAAAAAGGUUAAACUGUUAGGUGAUUAGACCCUAAUGUCACAUAAAUCCUUUAUAUUUUUUACGUUGAUUAGUUUGGGAUCUCUAAUACCCCCAUUGCUGAGAGAUGAUUCAGACCCUAAUAAGCCUUGAAGAGAAUGUUUUCUUGUUUUGUAUGAUCAAUAAUAUGGAAGAUUAUUUCCCAUAUGGUUUAUUACUCUCAUUUUAGAGUUAUUCUUACUUUAGUAGAGUUCUUAUUGAGGUAGGACUCAAAUGGGCUAAAAAUUUAUAAAUAGUAGCACCAUGGAAGAGGUUCUUUGGUUUUGGCCCAUAGAUAAAAAGGGUAGACCAUGUACAAGGUUCUCUUGCCCGUACUGAGAAAAAUACUCUAUGGUACAUUUUAUGUUGAAAUAGUAAAUAAUUUGGUCAUGUCUGUGACAAUAAGCAAAACAAACUAUUGAUAGUGUUGACCAUGUAUAGUGCUCUUCAAUGUAAAUAUUUAUACGAUUUAAUUGAAAAUAAUCCUUGGGUAUAACCCUAAUGAGAGGGAGUACAAAGUAAACAAAGUAUAGUUUGUUUUAUUCUUUAUAAUUCAUGCACACCCACAAUCAACAAAGUUACUUUGAUGCCUAACACCCAUGACACAUUAUAGGCUCUAUUAAAAUUUGUUAGAACUAGAUUCACAAAUAUGUUAGGUCCUAUUAACAAGUGGCAAUAAAAAUGUCAUAACAAAAACCGAAAAAAGCAUACAAUACCAAUCAAGAAAUUUUGGUUAAUCAAUGGGCUAAAACAUGAGUAUGAAGGACAAGGGGACAAGGAAAUGGUAGAGUUGGCUCUAAUGACAUGCCUAAGAACCACUCAAUCUAAAAUCCCAACUUAUAGGUGAGGGCAUCAGCUUCAUAUUACACGUCUUACAUGCAGAUAGUCACCUUUAAGAACAACAUGCCUUUGAGUUCCUCUUGCAAGGUCAUAAAAAUUGAUCCUAUAAUUUAAAAUUGAUGGAAUUUGCGCCCCUUACAUCACAUCCAAACGUAUAAAACAUAAAACUACCCUUCUCUCUAAUCUUUAUAAGCCAUGAAGGACCAGAAGAUCAAUUUUUGUUGACUUAUUUGCUGAUCCUAAUUGAUUCUAGGGAUAUGAUUUGAUUUGAUUAGGAUUCUUAAUUAUCUCUGUAAUUAUUAUUUGAUUAUUUGCUUCUUGUUUAAAUAUAAUUUUUUGUAUAUAAAUAGUCAUAUAAACCAAUUGUAAAAAUUAAGAGUGAAAUACAAGAAUUCUCUAAAUGUUUCCAAAAUUCUCCAUGGUAUGAGAGCCUUUUUCCUGAUUUUAGGGUUCAAAUUUAAUUUUUUCCUCUUUAGGAUUUCAAAACCCUAGAUCUACCUUUUUUGGUACUACCCCAUCUAGGAGUCUUUCCUCCUCUCACUGCCAGCACCAGGACUGUUGCCGGCCGAUCGCCCAGCUCCGACGCCGGAAAGCCCGCAUGUGAGGCUCAGGCGCCUCCCCUUCCCGGCGCGUGACCCAUCACAUCCCGAUGCGUGACCAAUCGCCUGACGCUGCUUCGCUGCUCUGAUCACUCCGGCGAUGAUUCUGACCAUCUUUAUGGCCUUCCCGUGCCGCUACCCGGUCAUUUGGUGAAUCGAUUGGGCUCUCUUGUGUGUACAACCUUGGAUACCUCCUAUUCUUUCACGGUUCAUAAAUCUUUACCAAGGCAGAAGGUAAAAGGGUCUCGAUUCCUAACUCUGAUUACUCAUCCUCCGGUGCCACAUCUAACUUUGUAAAGUUAGAUAAUGCUUCCUCUCUUAAUAAUGCUCCAUGGAUUAUCAAUUCUGGUGCGAAUAGACACAUGACAGACUCUUCUAAAGGCUUUCUCCAUUAUUUUCCUUCUCUAACCAAAGAUAGUGUCAGAAUUGUUGAUAGCUCUUUUACUCCCAUAUCCGAAACAGGUUCUGUUAUUUGCACAUCCAACAUUAAAUUAUCAUCUGUCCUUCAUGUUCCCCACUUUCCAGUCAACCUUUUAUCUGUCAGUGCUAUCACCAAUGCCCUUAAUUGUAAAAUUGAAUUCUUUCCUAAUCAUUGUAUUAUUCAGGAUCUUCACACAGAAAAAAGAAUUGGCAAUGGUAAGCUGCAUGAUGGCUUAUAUAUGUUGGAGGGUGAUCCAGGUUCUUCAAUAUCUCAAGCCUGUUUUGGAGAAAAUAAGGAUGUCAAUAAGGAAAUAAUACAGUGAUACAGACGGUUAGGGCAUCCAUCAUUUUUUGCUUUAGAAAAACUUUAUCCUAAUUUGUUUGCUAGAACUCAGUUUGAUUCUCUAUUUUGUGAUGCUUGUGAGUAUGCUAAAUACACUAGAACAUCCUAUCCUUUUAUUUGAUUAAAGCUAAAAGUGAUGUCUUUUCUUGUUUUCAAUCCUUUCAUAAGAUAGUUUGUAUUCAAUUUGAUACUAAGGUAAAAAUUUUGAGAACUGACAAUGAAAGAAAAUACAUGGAUAGUAGCUUUUCUGCUUAUUUGGAGAGUAAUGGGAUAGUACACCAAACUAGUUAUCCUUAUACUAGUGCUCAAAAUGGUGUUGCUGAUCGGAAAAAUAGGCAUCUAUUGGAAGUAGCUCGAUCUCUUAUGUUCACCAUAAAUCUACCCAAAGCAUAUUGGGAAGAUGCAAUCCUUGCAUCUGCUUAUCUUAUCAAUAGAAUGCCGCCUCUCAAGACCCUUGACUUUAUGAGUUCUUUGGUGGUUCUAUAAGGGAAGAAUUCAUACGUUGUUCCACCAAAAGUAUUUGGGUGUGUUUGCUUUGUCCAUACUAGGACAGCAGGGAAAUUGGAUUCCAAGGCUCUUAAAUGUGUGUUUGUUGAGUAUUCUUCAACACAGAAGGAAUACAAGUAUUAUCAUCCUCCUUCUAGGAAAUACUUAGUCAAUAUGGAUAUUACCUUCCGAGAAACUGAACCCUAUUUCAGUACCGCCCACUCACCUUUUCAGGGGGAGAAUAAUGAACAAGAAGAGGUGAUCCCGAAUUAUGUGAUUCUGAACGAUAUAGUUCAACUAGAAAGUUUGAGUUCUAGUAGACAGGGGGAGAUAUCCAAUCAGGGAGAGAGAAUUGGUUGUUUGGACAAGCCAGAUUUGAGAAAGUAUUCGAGGAGAGACAAGGCAGAAAAAGCCAUUAUGCAGUCUACUCAGAGUCGAGAAUCUUCUCCUGGUAAGUUACCCAGUCAAGAAUCUUCUUCUAUUGAGUUACCCACAACUCUUGAAUGCUUCAAUGACUUAGAUAAACCUAUUGCACAAAGAAAAGGGGUCAGAUCUUGUACUAAACACCCUAUUUCUAACUUUGUUUCUUAUGAAUUCUUGUCUCCUUCCUAUAGAGCCUUUACCUAGUCUAUUUCCUGUGUCUAUUCCACAGGAUUGGAAGAAAGCUCUUGCAGAUCCUAAAUGGAAGGAGGCAAUGAUUGAAGAGAUGAAAGCAUUGGCUAAAAAUGAGACCUGGGAGCUUGUCACUCUCCCACCUGGGAAGAAACUCGUUAGUUGCAAAUGGGUGUUCACAGUGAAACACAAAGCUGAUGGCACAAUUGAACGGUUUAAGGCCAAAUUGGUUGCUAAAGGAUUCACCCAAACCUAUGGAGUGGAUUACCAAGAGACAUUUACCCCAGUUGCAAAAAUGAACUCAAUCAAAGUUUUGUUAUCCUGCGCAGCCAAUUUGGACCGGGACUUGCAACAGUUUGAUGUGAAGAAUGCUUUCCUCCAUGGAGAUUUAGAGGAAGAAGUGUUUAUGAAAAUUUCUCCUGGGUUUGAUGAUGAGAAGACACAAGGAAAGGUGUGCAGGUUAAAAAAGGCUUUGUAUGGGCCAAAACAAUCUCCCAAAACUUGGUUUGACAGGUUAGCAAAGUCAUGAUGUCCUUUGGUUACCAUCAAAGCAAUGCUGAUCACACUUUGUUUAUCAAACAUCACAAGGGUAAGAUCACCCUUCUUAUUGUUUAUGUUGAUGAUAUAGUGGUGACAGGCAAUGACAAAGAGGAAAUGGCUCAACUAAAGAGGUUGUUGGCUCAACAAUUUGAAAUCAAAGAUCUAGGAAAACUGCAAUAUUCCCUAGGUAUCGAGGUGGCUAGAUCAGAAAAAUGAAUUUUCAUCUCCCAAAGAAAGUACAUUCUAGAUCUUUUGGAAGAAAAUGGUAUGAUGGGGUGUAAACCAGUAGAAUCUCUCAUUGAAAGCAAUCACAAGCUAGAAGCAGGAACUGGUGAGUCCGUGGAUAUUGGAAAAUACCAGAGAUUAGUAGGAAGGUUGAUUUAUCUCUCACACUCUCGACCAGAUAUAGCCUAUGUUAUUAGCUUAAUCAGCCAAUUCAUACAUGACCCUCGCGAGACUCAUAUGCAGGCUGUACUUCGCAUCUUAAGAUACCUAAAGUCUGCACCAAGGAAAUGGCUUCUUUACUCCAAACAUAGUCACCUCCGAGUUGAAGCAUUUACAGAUGCAGAUUGCGCAAGAUCUCUCGAUGAUAGGAGAUCCACCUCUGGCUACUGCACAGUUGUGGGAAGGAACCUUGUCACUUGGAAGAGCAAAAAACAAAGUGUUGUUGCUCGGUCAAGUGCUAAAGCAGAAUACAGAACAAUGGCCCAAGGUGUGUGUGAACUUUUAUGGUUAUAGAAGUUAUUGGAGGAGUUGAGGUUACUCGAGAGAGACAAGAUAACUGAUAGAACAUAUUUUAGUCCUUUUUAUCUUGAUAUUAUUGAUGAUUAUUUACAUGAUUUCUACUUAAUUUAGUGCUCUUGACAUUAUUUUGCAGAAAAUGGUGUAAAAUGACAUUUUGGAGAAAAUCCCCUUAAAACUGCCUUAAAUGGAGCAAAGGAGAGCAAGUCUGCCAAGUUGAAUUCAAGUGAAGCUAAAUAAGGAAAGUUCUAAAUAAGGAAAGUGGCAAAGAAGGAAAGAACAUUCAGCCAAAGCAAUUUGAAAUUCAAAUUUCAAACCUCCAAGUAGCCUUUUCCUUAUUCAAGAAGCUUUUUCCUUAUUCAAGAAGCCAAGUCUCAAGUUGCCAUAAAUGAAGAGCCAAAUAAGAAAAGUAUUUUGAAUUUCAAAUCUUCAAGAUUCAUAUUCAAAUUUUGAAUUUCAAAAUCCAGCUUAUCAAGGAAGCCAAAUUCAAAGAUCACAUGCUUGCCACCUCAUGCCUUGCACAUUCAAAAUUCAAAUUGCAAAGAAGGCUCCACCUUCCUUAUUAGUGCAUGGGCGGCAAGGAGAGUGUGAAGGCAAGUCUUGGGCACCUUGGGCAGCAUCUUGAAGACACUUGGGCAGCAAGCAAAGACCAAAGGCCCCACUCCUUGCACUUGAACACAUGCCCCACGUUUUUCCCUUCUCACAUGUGCAUGGAUGGCACAUCUUGGACCAAGGGCAUUUUGGGCAGCCUCUUGAAGUCUUUUGGGCAGCCUCUUGACACCUUGGGCAGCCUCUUCACUAAUUAGGAAGCAAGUAUCAUCUAGGGCAACACUUUUCAAGUAUAAAAAGACACAUAAGGAGCCUCCCCAUGCCCUUUCAAGCCCCCCUUGGAGGCACCUACGGGAUUCACAUCUCUUCUUCUACCUUUCUUCUUUUCUUUUAUUUUUGAUUUUUGUUUCAGCCAUGAGAGGCUGAAAUCUUUUAUUCUAGUUGAAGAUUAGGUGAUGCUUUAGUUGUUUUAUGGAUUGGAAGACUUGAUCAAACAUUGUUUAUCUUUUGUUAUUCAAUAUUCAUACAAUCUCAUGCUUAAUUCCAUUGUUGCUUUGUUGUUUUGAUCAAUAUGGCCAAUUGAUUCUUGAUUGCAAGGUAAUAAUAUGUUAGUUUGGAUAAUUUUUAGUCCGUAAUUGCUGGAAUUAUUCAAACAUAAGAACACUUGGUGUAAAAACCAAGGAAAUUGUAUGAUCUAGCAACAUCUCAUGCGUUUGAGUAGUUAGGAUUGGAUCUCUCUCUUUCUUCAUGCAAUUAACAAUUGUUUGAUGCCUAAGGCCCAAUGACGUUCCUUGGCAAUUUGUUAAUUAGUAAUUAAUUAGAGGACGUUCCCUAAUUGGUUUAAUCAUAAGGAGAGACAUGGUGGUGAGAAGCGUCUUCUUCCAUCUCCAUAACUAAUCUAUUGAAUCAAUCAAAAGAAACUAAGUGUCAAUGAUCAAUCCCAACAACUGAAGUGGAUUCAAUUCUUCAACUAGAGCUUUCUUAUUAUUUAUUUCUCUUUUAUUUUAUUAUUCGCUUAUUUUAAUUGCUUUCAGUAGUUUGUGAAUCAAAUCAAUCUCAAACCCCCCAUUUUACUUUUACUGCAAUUUAUUUUUAUUCCGCUUUCAGUUUAUCUCGUUUUCAGUUUUAUCUCGUUUCAGUUUGUUUUGCUUUCAGUUUAUUUUGCUUUCAGUUUUAUCUCGUUUCAGUUUGUUUUGCUUUCAGUUUAUUUUGCUUUCAGUUUAUUUCGCUUUCAGUUUAUUUUGCUUUCAGUUUAUUUCGCUUUCAGUUUAUUUUGCUUUCCGUUUAUCUCGUUUCAGUUUAUUUCUCUUUCAGUUUAUUUUCAUUUCAGUUAAUUCUCUUGGUCUUGAUAAGAAAAAUAGGUAAGUUCUCAAUUCUCUGUGCAUUCGAUCCUUUCACCACUAUCUACAGUUGUAAAAUUGUUGAUAACCAGAAAGGUUAUUUUUGACCGGCUUCGACAACCGCGAGUCAAUAACUUUGUAUUGUAACAAUAAAGCUGCUAUAAGUAUAACAUAAAAUUCAGUCCAACAUGACUUGACGAAACACAUUGAAAUUGAUCGGCAUUUCAUUAAAGAAAAAUUAACAGAUGGUGUCUUGAGCCUAGUUCAUGUGACUUCUACUGGGCAACUUGCGGAUGUGUUUAGUAAAGGGCUCAAUAACAAGAUCUACCAUAAUCUGACUUGCAAGUUGGGCAUGUGCAACAUCUAUGCACCAACUUGAGGGGGAGUGUUGACUUAUUUGCUGAUCCUAAUUGAUUCUAGGGAUAUGAUUUGAUUUGAUUAGGAUCCUUAAUUUUCUUUAUAAUUAUUAUUUGAUUAUUUACUUCCUGUUUAGAUAUAAUUCUUUGUGUAUAAAUAGUCAUAUAAACCAAUUGUAAAGAUUAAGAGUGAAAUACAAGAAUUCUCUAAAUUUUCCCAAAAUUCUUCAAUUUUAAAAUCUCAGCAACACGGAUUUUUACAGGACGUACCAGAUGUCAUUUUAUAAUAGAAGUAUGCGUCUACUUCUUAAACACAAAAAAAAAAGUGCAUAAAUAAAGCAUACAUGAGAAUUUCCAGCAGCAGCACUAUACCUUUUCAAAGAGAUUGAGACAAUCUUGAUUGUCUUCAAAAUCAACUUUUGCCCAGUCAAUUCCAUCCUGAAUAUAUUCCUAGUAAAGGCAGGAACAACCAAUAAGCAUAAACAAUAGAAAUGUUCUAUUAUGUCUGUUGUUUCAUCCAUGUAGAAUAGGUGAGUAAUAUUAAGAGAACAGAUUAAGAAUAUUUAGAGAAAAGUUUACAAAAUGUGGAAAUACCUGAACUAAUAAAUUGAGAUUCUUUAGGAGAAUUUUUCUUUUAAGAAGCUUAUUUAGAAGGCUUCAUGGACCAAUUAGUGAGAAUUAGAAGAAAAUUUUCUACCCAGGAAUCAGCUUGGAAUUCUUAAAUUGUUCAUGGUAGUGUUCUAGUGUGAGAAGCUUACUAGAAACCAUCCCCUUAGAAGUUUAUCUCUUGAAUUUCAAAGAUUUGAUAGUUACCUCCUGCUCUAACUUGAAUAAAUGACGGUUAAAGUGUUGCUGCAACCUCUCAUUUGCAUAGUUUAUACAAAAUUGCUCAAAACUGUUCCUCUGCAAAGCACAAAAAUUAUUAAGCAAAGCAAUAAGAGAUUAAGGGAGAGAGCAUCAUAUGAAAAUUAUAGUUGGAACAUACUUCAAAUGAUUCAAAUCCAUAAAUAUCAAGAAUGCUGAUAGAUCUUCCUGUUCGCCUUUUGCCAACCGCAAGAGAUUUGUUAAUCUGUUCAACCAACCACUCAAAUAAACAAGCAUAGAUUGACUUUGCCAAUGCAUCUCUUGUGUCAAUUGCCUGUAAAAUACAAAACAAACAUGUGCAUCAUGGUAAAAAAUUUGCUCGUAUAUUUGACAUCAAGUGGAAACUUCCCCAUGUAUUUGAUAUCAAAUUUAAAAACCGUACAUGCUAUGGUAAUAUAAUGUCAAGGAUGGUCUAUCACAGUCUUUCUUCCUUUCAGACAAGCAAAGAGAAUAAUAAUAUAAUUAACAUGAACUGAGAGGUUGCCAACCUUAACAUAAGAGGAUAAUCAUACGUCAAAUAUACAAACCUACAUUGAAAAAAAGAAUAUUCCAAGUUUCGAGAUCGCCAAAUAUAUGAAAAAAGAAAACAAAGUCAUUGGGAAAGAACAUUGUUUUAAAGAUACAACUAUAAUUACCACUUAACCUGAAUGCAACAAAAUUGCAGAAAACAUAGAAUGAUAAAGCCAGCAUAAGUGUAUUGACCAAACGUACGUCAGCACGUUUAGGAACUAAAGCAAUCCACGUUAAGUUGCUAGAAUUUUUUUAGUGUUGAAGUGUUGAUAAAGAAAAUCAUAAUAAUUUACUUCAAACAACACAUACAAGAUUCACGCAUGUUGAUACUUGCAUGAAAGCAUAAAGAGAAGAAAGGGUGGGAAUGAGAAAAACAUGGUCUUAGAGUGCACAAUCCUUAAAAUAUAAGGAUCUCAAUUGAAUUAUUACAUCCUAGAAACAGUAAAGAGCAAGAUCAUGAAAGACCUUGGCAAACAAUUCAAGGCUUAUGGCCCCACACCACAGCGCAUAUGUUUUACAAGCAUUAUCCAACCACAGAUUUGGUUGCACUGCCACAUAUAUAUGAGUUACAUGCCACAUACAAUCAAAUUUCACUUAUUUAACUAGGUUGCUACUUGCUAGAGUAUCCCAGUCGUAUAUACACAGCACAAGAGAGUUGGUUUAAAGCCUGCUCAUCAUUGUGAUUGAGGGCCAGAGAAAUGCUUUCCAGAAAAGGGGAAAAAAAAUCAUUUAGAUACUAUUGAAAAAAAGACAAUUUGGAAUAAGUUGUUUUGUUAUUUAGUGUUCUUAUGACUAAAAUAUGUCAAAUAUAAUUUUAAAUCAAUUUUUAAUAUUUUUAACUAAUGUAUUUAAGAAAUUGUAUUUCUCAACAGUAGCUCCAACAACAAUACCUAGUAGACUCUUAAUUUCUGGAAGUCCAAUUAGAAGAAACCCAUAUGGAAAAGACAGUGAAAAAAAAAGUACCACAAUGUCUAAUCAAAAUUUAAAUUCCAAGAUAUUCAUGAUGUAUAGCCUCACUACUCCUUCACCAAACAUAUACAAGUUGCAAACACUGUACAAUCACGGUCAUGAUAAGGUGGCGUAUAAUCAAAGCCAUUGAGAAUGUGAUACAGAGACUAUUACAUAAACUUUUUAGAGAAUUAGAAAAUUAUAUUAAAGACAUAUUUGUAAAUAGUUUAGUUAAAAAUAUGUUUUUCUGUAUUCGUGUUAACACAAAUACUCGAUUAAAAAACUGUUCACAUCAUAUCUUAUUGGCAAAGGACACUUUAGCCCACUGUAUAAAGCUCCAAAGAUUAUUUAAGGCAAGGCCAAUUAUUUUGGGCUAAAUAGGCCCUUGUUUAUUUAAAAAUAAAAAAAUAAAAAAAGCCCACCGUCAAGCUCUGUUACAGUGACGUUACUCUGAAAUCCUUUAAUAGUAAAAAAAAAUUCCCCAUAUCACUUUCCUCAGCCAGAAAAUAAAGAAACAAAGAAAGAGAGAAAGGAGAAGAUAACCACGUAAUCCAGAGCAAAGGCAGCCACAUAUACAGGGUUCUUCUUCUUCUUCUUCUUUGCUGCGACUUAGGUUGAAGAAAUGGCCUAAAAAUGAACUGGAUAGUGCCUCAAGCCACUGUUUUCUGUCUUCUAUAUCUUCUUCUUCUUCUAAUGGUUACUGUUUGCAUGCUAACAAGGAAAAACAAAAGGAAAAAGCAAGGGGUAUAUGGUUGGGCUCCUGGGUGCACCUCUUAUAGAUCGCCUACCUUUGGAUGUCUCAAAUGAUGGAUCUCUCCAUGUCUUUGGGUGCACAUUCUCCUACCCAUGUUUCUCCUCCAAUUAUGCAAUCUACUUGUUCCAUAUGAAUGGCUGGAAGAUGAUGAUGAAGCCAUUUGAAGAUGUUAAGAGGGACUUUGGAUGAUGAUUAAGCGUGAUGCUCAUUGAUGUUCACUCAAAUUCACGAUGACAAUGAGAGGGAAAGAAACAAAGGAUAAACAGACCAAGUUAACAUCCAUCCAACCUCACAGGCAAGUGAGGUGAUAUCAUGGAUUUAAAUCGCAUUUGCAGUUGCGAUCACACGUAAAAAAUUUGCGUAGCUCAUGAAAUUAAAAAAUACUAAAAAAUUUGCUUAGCUCAUGAAAUUAAAAGAUACUCCCUCCAUCCCAUACUUUUUGUCCAUUUUGCUUUUUCUCACAUGUUUAGAAAAAAAAAAUUUUAUUAACUUUCCAAUUAUACCCAUUUUAAAGACAUUAAAUUUUAUUAAAUACUAAGAGAUAUUUUGAGAGAUUUUUUAGAAAUAAGAUAAAAUUAAAUAGGAUUAUAAUAAUCAAUUUAUAUGUUGCUAUAGUGUAAAGAAAGAAAGAGAAUAAUAAUUUUAGGAUAACCAAAAAAGAAAGGUGGACAAAAAUUAUGAGACAGAGGGAGUAUUUAAAGUUAUGAAAAAAUUUAUGCAGCUCAUGAAAUUAAAAGAUAUUUGAAGUUAUGAGCAUAACUAAAAAAUCCAAUCAAAUAAUAAGCAUUAAUACAUCAAAUAAAUAUAUUCAAUCCAUCUACUUGGCUUAAACACUUAAUCCUCCUUUCUAGAAAAAACUAAUUUCAGAUAAGGAUGAGUUUUAUUAGACUAAAAAUAUGCUGUCAUAAUGUUAUUUUAUUCUGAUAGGGAUUUUGCUAUUUUAUUUUAAGUAGGACUUCUGAUUUACUUAGAACUAUUUUAUUCUAAUGGCAGUGGGCUCCACGGCUAUUUCUCGGAAGUAAUAGCAGUGCAACCCCAUUUAUAAAAAAAUUAUCUAGAAGUGGAAUGGUUCUAGAUAAUUUCAUUGCACACAAUCAUAGGCCUGCAGAAUCCCAUAAACAUACAUAAAUCUAGAACCAUGCACUGAUAACUGAAAUACAAGACUGUCCAAUGAAGGUGUUGGUAGACUCGGGCAGCACACAUAAUUUUCUUAGCCGAGUAGCAGCCCAUCGCUUGAAAAUAGCAAUUGAUCAGCAUAAUGGCCAGAAAAUUCCUAGCAUGGGGAGGAACAAGGAAAAACUAUCCAUCGAAUGUGUGUUUUUUCCAAUCGACUUUUACAUUAUACCCCUAAAUCCCUAAAUGGGUUUGAUAUUGUUUUGGGUGUUCAAUGGCUGCUCACAAUAGGCAAGAUAGAGUGAGAUUUUAAUACCCUAACCAUGAGUUUUCAGUUUGGAAACCAAUGCAUCCCCUUGGAGGGACUCCACUUUGAUCCUCUACCACAGGUUCACUCGAUCAGAUCCGCCACUAACCAACAAUCCUUGGAGGCAUUACUAGAGGAUUCUCAGUCCUCUUCCAAGAACCCACGAGAUUGCUGCCUAUCAGGAAAUGUGACCAUCAGAUCUGUUUACUUCCGAGUUCUUCGCCAGUAGUGGUACGACUAUACCACUAUCCUUGUCUUCAAAAAAAUGAAAUUGAGAAACAAUCUGAUGAGAUGCUAUGCCAAGUAAUUAUCCGUCUAAGCCACUCUCCUUUUUCUUCACCAGUAUUGUUGGUUAAAAAAUAAGAUGGGUCAUGUCGAUUUUGUCUAGACUACGGUGAGCUAAAUGCUAAAAUAGUAAAGGAUAAAUUUCUGAUUCCAAUUGUGGAUAAAUUACUUGAUGAACUCCACGAAACCCAAUAUUUUACUAAGCUGGACUCACGAUCCGGCUAUCAUCAAAUCCGGAUGAAAAAAAAGAAGACGUAGAGAAAACAACAUUUCAAACUCAUUAUGGGCACUUUGAGUUUCUAGUCAUGCCCUUUGGCCUCACCAAUGCUCCCUCAAUAUUUCAAGCAUUAAUGAAUGAGGUAUUUCAACUUUAUCUUCAAAAUUUUGUUCUGGUUUUCUUUGAUGAUAUUUUGAUUUACAGCAAAACAUGGAACAUUUGCAUCACAUACAGUUAGUAUUUCAGGUACUUCAUUCCCACUGCCUAUCCUUAAAACAAUCAAAGUGCUCAUCCAGAGAACAACAAAUUUUCUAUUUGGGCCACAUCAUUAAUGCUACAUCGGGUGUAUCCAGCGGAUGCCACAAAAAUUCAAGCCAUAAUAGAAUGGCAUCUCCCAUAUUCUAUCACGGCUCUACGCAGGUUCCUCAGGUGGACUAUCUAUUAUAGAAAAUUCAUUCGAGAUUAUGAUACCAUCGCCGCACCGCUCAUACAACUUCUCAAGACAAAUAGCUUCAACUGGAAUAAUGAGGCAGUAGCUUCUUUUGUAAAAUUGAAACAGGCCCUGAUUCAAGCCCCAGUCCUUUGCUUGCCAAACUAUGCAAAGAAAUUUGAAGUGGAAUGUGACGCAUCCGAAACUGGAAUUGGCGCUGUUUUGCACCAACAGCAGUAUCCUAUUGCCUUUUUCAGUAGAAAAUUGGCCAUUCGACACCAUAAAUUAGCUGCCUAUGAACGUGAAUUGAUCGGACUGGCUAAGGCCAUUCAACAUUGGCAGCCUUAUCUUUGGAGAAGGUCUUUUGUCAUCCAAACGGAUCAUUACACUGACUUAGCAAAUUGAUGGGUUUUACUUUCCGUGUAGAAUACAAGAUGGGCAAUCAUAAUGUAGUGGCAAAUGCACUUUCACGCCGACAUGAAGAGCAAGGACAAUUGAUGGCAGUUUCUUCUCCCACCGUUAUGAUAUUCGAUGCCAUUCGACAGGAGGUUGUAAAUUCCACAAAGUUAUCUCAAUUGCAACAACAAAUUUUAGAUGGGCAAAUGGAUGCCGCGUGGACAAUACGCGAUGGGUUGCUUCUCUAUCAUAAUAGGAUCUACCUUCUUCUGGAUUCAUCAUUGAUCCCUACAAUAAUAAGUGUUGUCUACAAUGGCACCCACGAAAGUGUUCAGAAAACGCUUCAUCGCAUUCACAGUGAUUUCUUCUAGACAAAUAUGAAGUCAACAAUUAGGGAAUUUGUUGCUUCUUAUUCUAUUUGUCAAAAGAAUAAAAUAUCAAACUUGCAUCCUAUAGGUUACUUCAGCCCCUUGCACUUCCAUCUCAGAUAUGGUCCGAUAUAUUUUCUAAAUAUGCAUAUUUCCUACCACUUACACACCCUUAUACAGCAAUAUAUUAUUAAACUAAAUGGUGUGCCGAAUCAAUUGUUAGCAAUCAGGACGUUAUCUUCACCAAUAAUUUUUGAAAGGAGUUAUUUUAUUUGGUGGGAACCAAAUUGGCCUUUUCUUCGGCUUACCACCCUCAAUUGGAUGGACAAACCAAAGUUGUGAAUUGUACCCUUGAAAUGUACCUAAAAUACUUUGUAAGUGACAAACCCAAAAGUUGGGUGGAUUGGGUAGCAUGGGCGGAAUUUUGUUAUAAUACUUCCUUCCACACAGCAAAGAACCACCUCAAUUAUUGUCCUAUGACCCAGAUUCUGCUGGUGUGGAGGCUGUCGAUGCGGCAUUAAAGGAAAGGGAUCAAGUUCUAGAAGAAGUCAAAUUUCACCUACACUAAGCUCAAGCACGCAUGAAGCAAUACUAUGAUAAAGGGCACAUAGGUAUUUCUUUUAAGAAGGAUGAUUGGGUUUGGCUUCGUUUGCAUCCCCGUCGACGUUUCACUAUUACAAAACAAUAAGGAAACAAGUUGCUGCCGAAGUUUUAUGGCCCAUUUCAAGUGCUGCAAAAAAUAGAAAAUGUGGCCUAUCAAUUGGCUUUGCCUUCCUCUAGCAAGAUCCAUAAUGUCUUUCAUGUUUCUUUGCUAAAGCCUUUCAAAGGCAUUCCCCAACGACAAUGCCCACACUACCACCUGUGACAGAUGGUCGCGCACGUCCCGUACCAGCGCACAUUAUCUGGGCACGUCUCAACCAAGGGAUAUGAGAAGUCUUGGUUCAAUGGAUUGGUUUAGCAGCUUCUGAUGCCAUGUGGGAGACUUUAGAUGACUUUCAAUAGGUUUAUCGUGACUAUCAGCUUGCGGACAAGCUUUUUCCGAGGGAGGGAGUGAUCGGGAGGGAGUGAUGUUAUAGAUGCUUUUAUCGGCAAGACUUGUCAUCGACAGCAGCAAGUAAAUCGGGGCUCAAACACUUAAUCGUCCUUUCUAAAAAAGACUAGUUUCAGAUAAGGAUGAGUUUUAUUAGACUAAGAAUAUGCUGUCAUAGUGCUAUUUUAAGCUGAUAGAAAUUUUGCUAUUUUAUUUUAAGUAGGACUUCUGAUUUACUUAGGAUUAUUUGCAGUAAGACUCUAUUUGUAAUCUCCAUUUAUAGAGAUUUCUGAUUUACUUAGGAUUAUUUGCAGUAAGACUCUAUUUGUAAUCUCUAUUUAUAGAGAUGAAUUUUAUGAAUAAAGCAAGUAUAUUCUGAGAUACAAAUAGAGAUUAGAGGCUUUCUCUUUAACGAGUCUUGAGGUAACAGGUUCCCUCCAACAAGCUCCAUCACAGCAGUCAUAGGUUCAGCAAAGUGAGGAAGAAACAGAAAUAAGGGAAAGGCUGCUGCAGCUGAAGAUUCGACAGUUCAUCGUAGACCCGUGACAAGAUCCUUAACCAGAGAACUCAACGCCAUCAUCAUUAGAUAACUUUAACAAUAAUUAAUUUAUAGCUAAAAUAACAAGAUAACAUGGAUGGUAAAAACUAAUUGUUCAUACUAUAAAUUUGACAAAAAGAACUUAGCAACCAACAUUAUUUUAUUUAAUAAAUAUGUAAAACAAAGAUAAAUAACUCAAAUUUUAUAAGAUAUAAAUAUAUAGAAUUAAAAAGAUAGUUGAUGAUCUUAGUUUAAGAGAAAAGAAAUGAGACAUUUGUAGAAAAUAGUUAAAUUUUGAAAGAAAUUUGAGAAAAGUGAGAUAUAACAUUAUAAAACUUUCUAAUCUAAGAAAAAAAAUUGAGUUGUUAACCCCAUAUGGCUUUUAAAAAAACUAGGUAAUGGACCGUUACCGUUAACAGUAAAUAACAUCAGUUACAGGAACAAAUUUUUCUUGCCCUCUAAAUAAUGGGUGUAACAGUAACGGGAGGGUCAAAAACCUACAAAUAAAGGCCUUCAUUUUAAACCAAGGGUGAUAUUGGGCUUAUUUAUUCAAUUUUACUAUGAUUAUGACCUUUCUGAUGUUUCUAAAAAUAAACUGGGGGCUAUUUGGCCCAAAAUAACUGACCGGGCUCACAUAUGAACUUUUGGGCUUUUUACAAGGGUCCAAAGUGGCCCUUUGCCUAUUUCGUUUUCAUUAUUAAUCAAAUUCACGAUGUGAACAACAUAGCACCAUAGACUCCAACGACAAUUUGCAACACAUGCACAUACGCUAACCAAACAGUAGCUUUUAACUUUGACUCAGCAUUGAAAACACGCACAAGCACCAAACAAAAAAAAAAUGACCACAUUGAGUAAGCUAAUUAAGUUUUCUUUUACCACUAUUAAGUUGAAAUUUUAGAUAUAGUAAAGAUUGAUUUUUUAGCAUAAAAUAUAGGAUAGAAGAAAAAAAAUUAUGUUAAAACAGUUGCUAUCAUUUUCUAAUUAAUCAGUAAGUAACAACCACAGUUGUUGGUAACAACUGUUGAACUUUCAUAAUGGCUAUCACGCAGACAUUUUCAAAACUUCAAUUAACUAACAAGGAUACUAGUUAUAAAAGGCCAAAGUUUUAUUAUGUAACAAUGUUGUGAAAGAGUAACAGCCAAUGUUUAACUUCAUGCUCCCUCAAGUUGCAUCUAAAAACAAUCAGAUCACAAUCCCAUAUAAAUUUAGGGUUGGACUUCAUAGAGAAAGAAAAGAUGAUGUGUUCCCAGAUACUCACCUGUGAUAAAGUUAGCUUUUGGAUGAUAUUAUCAUUGCCAACUCUCAUUUUGCGAGUUGAUAAAGCUAACUUAAGCUCCCCAACAUCACAUCCAAUCAAUUUGGCAACAGUGGUUAAACCUGAAACAUGAAAUAUGCAGAUUUCAAUAGUCAUUGGUUAUACACCAAACACGCAUCCCCCAUCCCCCACCCCUCCUCUUCCCAAUAGAAUAAGAAGGAAAAAAGAAAAGUCUAGCCUCCAACAAAGGAAGAGGAACAGUUUGAUAAGAUUAUAAAGCAAUAUAUAAUUAUUUCUUUUAGUCAUUGCGAAGAGCGAGAAUAAAACUUGCAAAACACAGAUGGAGCAACAGUUUUAUGAAUUGAAAUUACUGCAGUCUAUCUAUUGAAAAUCAUUAGGAUUGAGUAUUUGAUGCUAGCUCUAUAACGAAAACAAUAUAGAAUUGAAUUAAAUUUGACAUGUCCACAUUAUUACUUUUCAUUUUUUUUCCAUCAUAAAUAAUAAAAUGCACAACCAAUAUCUACUAAGGAUGUUGAAGAUUUUAGUUAGAGAUAGGAAAAUUUACUAUUUAGUCCCUAUGGUACAAACAAACUCAUUAGUUGGUUCAUUGAUUUUGAAAAAUACAUUAAAAUGUCUUUGAGGUAUUAAAAAAUCUACUAAUUAGUUCUUCCGUUAGUUUAGUUUUCAAGUAUUUUAUAAUUUAGUCCCUAUGAUGUGAGAAAAUUCAUUAAUAGGUCCCUCAGUUUUAUAAAAAUGUUUAUUAAUUAGUCCUUCCAUAUAGAAGGCAUUUUAGACUUUUCUUCAACACUUGAUAGCUAAAAUUAACGGAAGAACUAAUUAUUAGACUUUUUAAAAUCUCAUAAACGUUUUAAUGUAUUUUUUAAAACUGAGAGAUCAACUAGUAACCUUUCUACAAGCUGAUUCUUCAUUACUAAUUUCUAUCAUAGCAUCAAUGACUCAAGUGUUUUAAUCCAACUCUCAAUCAUAUUGUGUACUAUGUAUUGAGAAAGGUAACUGAAUCAUCCAAUCCUACUCCCCUUGCUUAAAAGACCUUGACUACCAUAUGACUUGGGCACCGUUGAUGUCAAAAAUAACCGGCACUUGGAAAGUAUUUUGUAACAAAAACAUUUCGUAAGAUAAUUAUUUUUGUUUGGUUGUAACACAACAAAAUAAGAUGGAAAUUAACAUAUGGCAUCUGCAAUAGUUGGGGAGAAAAAAGCAGAUUUUCCUUUUGCUAAAAAACAUGCAAAUAUGAAAAUGGUCGAACCUAUAAAAGCUUCAUAGUUUUUAGUAACAGUUGAACAUGACUAUAUGAGAGAAAAUACAUAAAAAAGGUAAAUAGCAGUUAUAAUCUCUAAUAAAGCUAUAAAAAAAUGGAAGAUCAUGGUUAUCAAAGGUGGACAUUAUCAGUGUUGGUCAAUAAAAUAAAGCGUGACAUGUGUGUAUGUGUUUCCUUUAUAAUUUUUUUCCCUUUUGAUGAGUUUGACAGAGUCAAAAACAUUUUUCCUUUGAUUAGGAAAUCAUUUACCAUUAACUAGUUGUCCAAGGUAGACAUAAACAUCAUAUUCACAUAAAUGGUUAUCAUUUUUUUUCUUUGCAUCACUUUGUCACCUAGUUAAUCAAUUUGCUAUAAUUUUACUCAAUUAAUGUGGACAUACAUGACAUAAGGUAAUAAUUUUUUCCAAAUAACAUCAAUGAGACACCCAUGUAAGAUAGUUGUGCAGCACAUUUAUGCCAUGCAAUAGCCACAUCUUAGAAUAACAUUAAACUAUAACAAAAUUUUAAAGAAAUUGUAAAACACGUUGUAGCUAAAGCGUAUCUGAAUUAGUACUAGAAAGCAACCGUCAGUUUUGGGCUUCUAACCAGUUUGGGUUGUUUGAUGAUCAUGGCAAUGGAAGUAACAUUUAAAAAUUUUAAUUGAAACUCUAGAAGCCAAGACUCCUAUCUAUUGGUGCUUUGAGUCUCCUGCAGUUAACCAUUAGUUGCCAACAUCUAAUUAUUAGACCUAUCAAUCCAAACAAACCUUAAUAUCAAUUGCCUUGCCUUAUCAAUAACAUCUUGAUGAAUAUACAUGAAAGCAAUUUUAGCUUAAUAUUCAAAGUUGGUAUUUCCAUAAACAAAAUGGCUAUGAUUGCUGCUAAACAAUGUUUUUCAUAAAUUCCCAAUCACUUGAAUCAUUGUAUAUUACACUCUCUUUCAUCAGUCCCUGAAAAGUUACUCUCUCCCUCUCUCUCUGGCAAGAGGUAGGGAUGCAUAAAAAGAGCCAAUAUAUGCAAGAAAGCGUUUUUUCCUUGUUAGACUACAAAACCAAAUGUAACAAUUAAGUGUGCAUUCAUUUUCCUUGUGGUUUUCUAUUUUUCGUUUUUUAUUUGACAAAAAAACAUGUAACUUUGUUCAGUUAUAGGUGUUGGUGUUUUUAUUUCUACUACUAAUAAGAAAGAGGUUUUAAAAUCAAAAAACUGAAAACUACAAAUAUUAGUUUUCUUGUUACAAAUCCUAUCAAACCAUUAUUUUUCUUUGCAACUUUUAUUAGAUUACCAUUAGCAAUUUUGAGAUUUUAUCUUUAUCAAUAUUCAUUUCUUUUUUUUUUUCAAUUACAUAUUCAUUCAAUUAAUUUAUAAUAUAUACUUUUAUUUUACUACAAGAAAAAUUUACUAUUAAGUCCUUGUGGUAUAGGGAAAUUUAUUAAUUAAUUCCUCGACUUGAAAAAUAUAUUAAAACGUCCUUGAGGUUUUAAACAAUUUACUAAUUAGUCCUUCCAUUAGUUUUAGUUGUUAAAUAUCUUACUAAUUUAGUCCUUGUGGUAUAAAAAACUCAUUAAUUGGUCCCAUAGUUUAGUAAAAAUAUCUAGUAAUUAGUCCCUCCACAUUGAAAAAAUUUUAAACUUUUUAGCAAGAAAAAUUUACUAUUUAAUUCCUGUAAUAUGGGAAAACUCAUUAAUUGAUCUUUCAGUUUUGAAAAAAUAAAAUAUUCUUAAUAUUAAAAAAUAUAUUAAUUAGUCCUUCCAUUAGCUUUAGCCAUUAAAUGUUUUACUAUUUAAUUUAAUCCUUGUGCUGUGAGAAAAUUCAUUAAUUGGUUCUUUAAUUUUGUAAAAAUGUCUACUAAUUAAUUCAUUUGUAUUGAGGGCAUUUUAAAUUUUUUUAUAACACUUAACAGCUAAAAUUUAUGUAGGGAUUAAUUUAGUAGAUUUUUUAAAACUUCAAGAACGUUUUAAUGUAUUUUUCAAAAUCAAUGUUAGUGAUUUUUCUUCUACCAUAGGAACUAAAUAGUAAUUUUUUAUUUUUGCUAAAAUUAUCGGACUAACUAGUAGACUUUUUAAAACCCCAGGAAUUUUUUAAUGCAUUGUUUAAAAUAAAGGGACUAACUAAUAAAUUUUCCUAUACUACAGAAAUCAUAUGGUACUUUUUUCUCAUUAUAAUAUCAUAUAGAAGUAAUUUAUUAUUCAUUUAUAUGUGAAAUCAUUUAUAAAAUUAUUUGUAUCCUUAUUUUAUUAUUAAAUAUCAUAUUUCGAAAAGUCUUUUUAUAUAAAAAUUUAAAAAUUUAUUUUGAUACAUACAAUUUUUAAAAAACCGUUUUUAUGAAGUAAAUAACAAAAAUCAAAAAACUGUUUUUCGUUAAAAAAAAAUAAAAAUAGAAACCUGCAGUGUUACCAAAUGCACUCUAAAUUUAGAAAUAUUAAAUUUUAAAAAUAAAAAGGUUAAACUCAACUUUUCAAAAAUCCAACAAUCUAUUCAAUAAGAGGAAAUAAAUGCAAUGAUAUAAUUAUUGUAAGUUUCAUAUUAUUGUGUGAAUAGAUCAUUAAUUCAAUCAUGUUGAACUUUCUUGGUCUUACAUCUAUAUUUAGCAUUUAUCUAUUUCUAAUUCAAGCAUGGUUUCAAGUCGCGAUCGCGGCCACGGGUAACAGAAACAGGCCUGUAACGGUCAUAAUAACGUAUCGGUAACGGCCUGUAGCUACGCAAAUUUUUUUGAAAAAUUUGCAAAGUUCAUAAAAUUAGCAAAUAUUUAAAGAUAUAAUCAAAAGUAAGUUAUACAACUUAAUAAUAAGUACAAAUAUAUCUAAUAAACACAAAAUUUAUAAAAUUUAAACAUC